GAGCAUCCAGACAAUAAUGCUGAUGCAUGCAAAAGCAUAAAGUACUUGAUGGCCGAAUAUUAGCAGCAAAUAAAGCUCCAAAACAGAGUUCAUACAGUUGGAUAGAUUGGUCAUGAUAGCAAAACUCCUGGUACAACUAAAAGCAACGAUAACAGGCCUACUAAAGUGCAGGUUUCUGGAAUAAGCGAGUUGACAGAUGAGAAGAAUGGCGCCACCAUGCCAAGCAAGUACGCCCGCAGUCAGCCGCAGCCAAAGACACACAUAGGAAGCUACAGCACACCGUCACCACCCCCAUCAGCCUACUUGGAUCGCUGCCUCAUCUUUCGGCGCUUCCUCUUCAGCCUCCUCAUGCGCUUCUUCUUCCACUGAAUCAAGAGAUAAGCCAAGUUAAAAAGGAUACAUGAUCACAUAAAUUAUUCAAUAAAACAAGAAUAGAAGGGUGGCUUCCAGGCAUGCUGUUUGCAAAAAAUAAACCAAGUAAUCCCAUGAACCUCAGUGGUAAACAGAAGUCGGAAGCAACCAAAAGCAAGGCAACAAUCAAUUCAGCUGCCCAAUCCUGAGACAGGUUGUGAACAGUUUAACUGAAAUGCACUGAAAAACUGCAUCUGCUACAACAUGGCAGUUCAACAUUCCAGCUAGUCAAUUAUCUAAUACUGUUCAUCUACUUGGAUGCGGGCAACUAUGUUCAGUAUCACUUGCUAAGGCCAAAAGGAAUGUUCAAUAGCGAGCAGACGAGCAGAUUGUCUGCAACAUAGAAAAUUUAACAAGUCUACUACAACACGCAUUAAACAUGUGGUACUACAGCCAGAUAAGCCAAUUCAUCUUAUUACUUAAAUCAUCAUAACCAAAGAAGAAAUUCGCAGGUUUUGAAACAGUAUGGCGACCACAAAGGACCAACCACUAACGUACAUAAUCAAACACCAACAGAGUACUUCAGCAAAUUGUUAAUUCACAUCCCGAGGGCUCAUAUCAAGUGCAUUCGACCUUCACCGUGGCAGGGAAACCCAAACGAGACAGACGACCCACGCACGCGCGCGCAAGCACGACGACAAGCAACGCGAGCACGGUACGGGAGAACCGGAACACGAGAUACCUAAGCCCACACGAUACAUCGAUCGAUCUAAGGUAACACGAGACAAAACAUGCCCCACCAUCGCCGCCACCGCCACCGCCGACGCAAGCGUCGUCGGGCGGCACCUCGCGUUCCAUCCCUGACCGGCUCGAGUUGCUCGCCCCGUCGCAGCCGCAGCAGAAACGGGGGGCACGAGCACGAGACGGCGAGAUCUGCCGGCUCGCUAGGGUUUCCCAGGAAUUCGAGCCAUUCGAGCCUCUCUCUUUGUAAUCAUAGCCCCCGCUCGGCAAAGAACGAACAAACAAACAAACGAAGGAACAAAACCAUGGCGGUCGUCGCAUGGAUCUAGGGGACGAACGGGAUAGGUGUCCGGGGACUAGAGCGUGUGGAUUGGGAGGUUACCUUGGCCCUCAUGGUCGGUCGCCUCCUCGCGAGAUCUCCUUCUCGCCCCUGCUGCUUCUCCUCCUCCUGCGGCGGCGGCGGCGGUCUUGUGGUGGGGAGUGGGGGGAGUGGGAGAAAGGGAUGCGCACUGGGGGGUUACAAGAAGCGAAACCCUAGGAAGGUAGCUUCGAGAAUAUGGGCCUGGGCUUGUUAGCCGCUCGAAUGCCCACACGCUAUGGGCGUAUUGGGCUGAAGGCAUUCGAGGUAACUCUGCUUUCCUUUCCCUUUAGCGGUUUAGCGGAAGCAACUAGUUAACGAGCGCUUCUUCAGGAGCCUCGCAACGAUCAGCGCCACUUGUCGCGUUCUCAGCCAUUCGUCACGUGUCGUGUUCUGGACGUUUUUUCGGAUUUUAUUUUUUUAUUUUUCCACACGCGUUUUCGGCUUUUAAAUGGUUUUUUCCCGGGUUUUUUUUACGUUUUGGUUUUCCCCCGGUCUUUCUUAGCUUUUCGAUUAAAAAAAAUUCGAAAUUUUUUUUUUGCGCGAAAGAACACGUUUUCUUUUUUUCCUUUCGCAAAAGUCAUGGGGUUUUUUUCCGCGAGAGGUACGGUUGUGCUUUAUCGAGAGUCACGGCCGUGCUUUUCGAAAACGAAAAAAAAAUGUGUUUUCUGUUUUUUUUCUUUUGCGAGAGUCACGGUUUUUCUUCCGCAAGAGGCACGGUUGUGCUUUUGCGAGAGGCACGGCCGUGACUCUCGCAAANNNNNNNNNNNNNNNNNNNNNNNNNNNNNNNNNNNNNNNNNNNNNNNNNNNNNNNNNNNNNNNNNNNNNNNNNNNNNNNNNNNNNNNNNNNNNNNNNNNNNNNNNNNNNNNNNNNNNNNNNNNNNNNNNNNNNNNNNNNNNNNNNNNNNNNNNNNNNNNNNNNNNNNNNNNNNNNNNNNNNNNNNNNNNNNNNNNNNNNNNNNNNNNNNNNNNNNNNNNNNNNNNNNNNNNNNNNNNNNNNNNNNNNNNNNNNNNNNNNNNNNNNNNNNNNNNNNNNNNNNNNNNNNNNNNNNNNNNNNNNNNNNNNNNNNNNNNNNNNCUCGCAAAAGAAAAAAAACAGAAAACACGUUUUUUUUUUCGUUUCCGAAAGGCACGGCCGUGCCUCUCGGAAAGGGAAAAACAAAACGCGUUUUUUGUUUUUUUUCUUUCGUGAGAGUUACGGUUUUGCUUCCGCGAGAGGCAUGGUUGUACUUACGCGAAAGUCACGGCCGUGCCUCUCGGAAAGGGAAAAAAUACGCAUUUUCUUUUUUUUUCUUUCACGAGAGUUACGGUUUUGCUUCCGCAAGAGGCACGGUUGUGCUUUCGCGAGAGUCACAAUCGUGUCUCUCGAAAACGGAAAAAACGCGUUUUCUGUUUUUUUCCUUCCACGAGAGUCACGAUUUUGCUUCCACGAGAGACACGGUUGUGAUUUCGCGAGAGGCACGGGCGUGCCUCUUUUGGAAAGGGAAAAAAACCGUGCUUCCGAUUCGGUUUUUUCGCCCGGUUUUUUUCGUCCGGUUUUUUUCGUGAAAAAAAAGUUCGUCAAAACCUAUCAAAAUGGGACCUAAUUUUAAAGAUCUCGACGCGAGGAAUCCAAUGGUGAAAACGGUUCGAGAUUUGGACGCACGGUUUAAGAGAUAAAACGUUUUGAAUAAACGGAUCUACGAAAAAAGGGAAAACUCCCCGAUUGCGACAAGUGGCGCGCUGCAUGUGCGCCACUUGUCGCGACCUGGGAAAGUGAAGUGUUCUUUGCAACGAGUACUCCUUAAUUAGUGAUUUCGCCCUUUAGCCGCCCCCUCUCUCGCGUGUCAGCUGGGUGUUCGAAAAAAAAACUGAGUGUUCACAUGCACAAUAGCUUUUUUUUCUUAGGACAGCAUUGACGUAGCCUCAAAAAUAAGAAAGAAAGAAAAUCACCAUUGAGGUGGGUGGCUCCGUACAAUCAGGAACGGAGCUCACGUACAACCACUGGUGUCAGUUGACACCAGUGGAGUUCAGCGUUUCAAUUAGCAUGCUUAAUAAAUUUUGUCUUUGACGCCAGCCAGAAAGAUCGAUUGACACCAACCCGGCCGACGGAAAGCCGCUCCACAAACCCAAAAUGCCAGCCCAAUUACAGUCGUGCAAACAAAAAGGCUGACGGGAAGCCCGCAACACGUUAAUAUGAGAGUUAAUAGCAUCCCAGGUACCCUAACUUGCAUAGAAUGUGAUGAUUCAGUUUCAAACUUGCAAAAUUUGACUCCACCAUACCCCAACUUGCACCUCAUGUGAUGAUUUAGUCUCAAGCCAAUCACAACUCGACAAUUGGCAGCUAGGUUGCCGGACCGGUCAGCGCACGCACUUUUGCAGAAACCCCCCCUGCUGUUUUUCCUAUACCCCAACUUGCAACAGCUGUAAAUGGCAACAAUGGUUAGCAACUGACAGAAUGGAAUCACGAUGCAAGACUGGGAAUAUACCAUUUCACAGAAUAGCAUUUACCUGGUUAGUGCUCAUGAGAUACAAGUGAAACACUGAGAGGCCACCAACAAACCAAACCGCGAUAAAUGUGUACUCCAGAGCGAUAGAAGCAGGGGUCUUUGCCAUUGCCUUCCAUAUUGUUAUCUGCUCUGUAGGGCUCCUGGAGGCUUGCGCUCCCGCGCGACGGAGUUGAGCCCGUCGCCACAGCUGCGUCCGGGAAGUGAAGUCUGGUGCACUCACGCAACGGCGUCAAGGAUGCCAUCCACUACAAUGGCAGGUUCUACUCGAUCACAUACUUCGGCGAAGUAGAGGCAUGGGAUGAGUGCGGCGCCGAUGACCCAGGUGUGUUCGCAAGUGUGGUGAUCUCGCCGAGGCUGCCAGCCGACACCGAGCACCGCAAGUACCUAAUGGCGGCGCCGGGCGGGCCGCUGAUGGUCGUGCUCAAGGAGGGUCGGCGGACGUCUCCAUCCUUCAAGGUGCAGGUCCUCGGUGGCGGCGGCAAGGAGUGGAAGGUGACGGACGACAUCGGCGAAACAACGCUCUUCAUUGGGGGGAACGGUUCCUUCUGCGUGUCCACGAGGGAGCACCCGGAGCUCAGGGCCGGCUGCGUCUACUACACCGAGGACGAUCCGGGGCUAUACAAGGAUGCUCGCGACCGCUACUACAAUGGCAUUAAUUGGGGUAUUCACCCUCAAGGAUGGCAGCCGGGAGAAGGUCGAGGGCCUUGCGCUGGUCGCCACCAGUGUGGUUCAUGCCUUCCAUCCCAUUGUGAUGGAUACUGUGACUGAUUUCAUAGCUGUUGGGGUGGGUUAAGUGCUACUAUAUUAUGUGCAUUACUACAGUAUAGAUGCAGCAACAGGCUUAUGAAUCUGAAUUAAUCAAACAAUUCGGCUUGAUUUCCAGUAAAAAGGCUUCAGUAGAAACUUAGGAAACAGUUUGAUUUUCUGCUUCUUCUUUUCGUCUUCCAGAUUGUGGCAUAGUAAACAAAGGUGGCCCUUUUAGGUUGCUUUUUAAGUAUUCUGAUGGAACAAUUUAAUCAGUAUGCAUGACUCAGACUUAAUUUUAUGCUAUGAUGAUUGCAGCUCAUAUUAGUACGUAAUUAUUGCCCGAAGCUUUAAUUUAGAACGUUGGGGUUCGGGCCACCUUUCAUGACUUUUUUUAUGCAUGGCUCAGACCCUUAUUGAAGUAAUUAUUGCAGCUCUUAUUAGUAAGUAAUUAUCUGUUUGGGUGAGGUUUCUGGAUUAACAGGUUUAAUUCAGAACUAAACAGAGGAGAACAGUACUUAUAGCUAGAGAAGACUGUUUGGUUUGCUGGGUUCAUAAUAGCAUUUUGUGUUUGUGUUUUGCCUUUUGAUUGUUUCAAACUGCAACCAAUUCUGGAAUAUGAUCACGGCACUGCAUUUGCCUGCCUUUUGAUUAUCAUGCAGAUUUGAGGUGUGGGGUGUUGAGAGGGUACAUUACAUUUCCAUCCACAUCGGUGGCGUUCAGUUUUGCCUUCUUGUUGAUUAUUGAGAGGAAUCAAAUUGUCUUUUCACCAAUUUCUGUGGUCAUUGGAGUAGCAUCCUCUGCUUUCUCUUACCAGCACUCCAGCAGAGCAUGACUGUUACUGCAUGUUUCUGAAGAUAUACAUGCUGAAGUUUCAGUAACAACUAAGGAGAACAUUUGGAAACAAAAUAUGAUUUAAGAUACACACCAAGUAGCAGGUAACAUCAUAAAUUAGGAUUUUUGUACUAGCUAGUAUGCUGAAGCAGGUUGCAGGGGCCAGAUUUCUACUGCCCCCUGAUAAUGGGUGGCACGAAGCUGCACUUUGAGAUGCAGGGUUGUCCAUUUUUUAGAGUAAAUUAGGAUUAGUUGGACAAUGACCAGAGCUUAGUUAAGGAAAUGUUCUUUAUUAUUUAAGUAUAUGUGGUGCUGCUCAUACAUGUUGGUGCUGGUGCCAUGGGUGAUUUGAGAGCCUGAAUGCCGGCUUACUGCAAUAUCUUUUUGAAGAAAGUGUUUGGGGUUCAGGAGUACCGAAAACGAUUUGUGUUUGUUUCAAACUGCAACCACAGUUUGUUUUUAAUUUUCGAAUGGUCAACGUCGGUUUGUUUGGCUGCCUAUUUGUAUUGCUAUAGGCAAGAGUACAUCCAUCCUCUGCUUUCCACCAGCAUAGAAUCACCCUUACUGAACAUCUCUCAAGAUGUAUUUACAUACUUGGUUAUCAUCAUCAGUAACUAAAGAGAACAGUUGGAUCUUCUUGGAGUUCCAUUGUUGAAUCUCAAACUGCAACACACUAAUCGUUUUUCUUUUCUUUUGUUAAGAAUGAUCGAUCCAAGUUUUGGUCGCUGCUUAUGCAGUGGGCAAUUAAUGGUUCAGUUCACGGCAUGCUUCAGAAUUACUUCCAUGGCUGCAAUGUCAGGCUUGAUCUGUACAUCCUUGGUAUGUAUAUCAAGGAGGAAUACAUGCAGGUCAGGAGCUAAGAAUCGUUUUGUGGGCCGUUCCUUGCCUUUUGUGCUCUUGAUUGAUUAGUUUAUUAGGCUCUAGUCUGAGUGCCGGUAUCCCUUUUUCACUUUUAUUUUUGUUGGUUUUUAUUAUAAUACAGGAAGAUCUGCUGCGCGUAUAAGAGCAAGUACAAUAGAGCUGAGUCAGCUGGCUAUAAAAAAUAAACUAUUAUAUUCUUGCUUAGUUGGAGGAAAAAGAAAAGGAGAGAGAAGAUAAGCGGGCUCUUGAUGAAGAGUCAGCUCUAGCACGUGCUCCUAGGCACUUUGUGAGAGUGAAAAGUGGGCCAUAUAAUAAAAAAGUAAUACACUCUUCUAAUCAACUAUUGUACAUAUUGCCUAUAAGAUGAGCUAUAGAUGACAUGGCAAUGGCUUAUAGCCAGCAGUUGGCUAUACUAUUAACCAUGCUCUAACAAAACGGUAGGGGGUUUCUGCAAAAGUGCGUGCGCUGACCGGUCCAGUCACUUGGCUGCCAAGCUGUGAUUGGCCUGAGACUAAAUCAUCACAUGAUGUGCAAGUUGAAGUAUGGUGGAGGCAAGUUUUGCAAGUUUGAGACUGAAUCAUCACAUUCUGUGCAAGUUAGGGUACCUAUGAUGCUAUUACCUCUUAAUCUAAUAGCUGCGGUUGUGAGUUGUGACAUACGCAGAAGUACGUGCAGGUCGCACCAUCCACACCUAUCCGUCUUUUCGCCGCCUGGUGUUUCUCAACAAAAAAAAGCCUCUCCUCGCCGACUCAAUCCUCAAUUUCGGCAUCCAGAACCAAACCCUAGCAAUCUCAAUCUCUCUCUCACCGCUCGAUGGAACAACACAACUGCGAAGCAAAAACAGCAUGUUUUCAUGCCGGCCAGCCGGCGGCCGCAGCGGCAACAAAACAAUUUUAAUCUAAUAGUCUGCUGAGGAAAGUUCCUGAGUCCAGGUCUCCGGCAAGGUACACCAUGUCUGUACGGACAUAUGUGACCCCUAUACAGAAAUUUCUCACCUUGCCUAUUUUGAAUUUCUCUUCCUUGAUUCAUAUGGGGAUUAUGCAUAUUUUUUUGUUGAAAUGAACUAUAUCACAUGAUGAUUUUGAUUCAACAAAAUUGAUUGAUCUUGGUCAUGAACUUCACAUUUACAUUGAUAAUGUGCGGACAAAUCAAAUAUUUUCCAAUUUGGUUUGUAUUGCUGAGCUUGCUAUAUUGUUCGUGGAUGCCCAGAAGAAUCUUUUUUCUUUGAUUUGGUGCAUCGACUUCUAAAUUUGAUUCUAAUUUUGUUGAUUGUUGGUGAUUUUCAAAAAUUAAUAUUGGCAGCAAUGUUCUACAUAACAAAAUGAGUGAGCGGUUUAUGAGUGAUUGACUGAUUUGCUAAGCAGGAAAAAAAUUCUACCAUUACAAAUGAUGACAUGAUUAAUCUCUUUAAGAAGGUGAAAGGCCAUGAAGGGAAAUUAUAAAAUGUGAGUCUCGAGUCACUUUAAGUUUCGUUUGAUGAUAUUUAUAUUUAGUGUUAUUAGUUAUGUACAAUCGUUGUCAGUGUAAUAUGUUUUGUUUGUUGAUCUUUUGCUCGAAGUUAUAAAUGAAGCUCUCUAUAGUCGUCUUUUUUUAUUUUCUUCUUCUUAUGAAUUUGUAACUGGUUUCUUGCCUUCACUUGGUAUGCAAGCUUUUAAAUAAACAACUAUUAUAUUGUUUGCUAAUUGCAUAUUUUCAUUCUUUGUAUUGUUUUUUUGAAAGUUAUUUAUAUUUCCUGCCAUAAUCCAGUAGUGGGUUGUGGCUGACACCAAUGGCGAUUUUUUCUAGCUUCGUCCCUGCGUACAAUGUUAUUCCUUAAAUUCGUCAUCUUCCAACACCGAGGAAGCACGACGGGUUCGCGGUGGCAAGGCGCACAACUAACUACAUCGCCAAACGGAGCAAACUACGAAGGUGGGGUCCCCCGCCAUCCAACACCGCUAGUGUCCCGAAGGAGCAACAACGUCCAUGGCAGCUGCCUGCUUGAGCUUAGCCACAACAAUCUGUUGGGGAACAUAGCAGAAAUUCAAAAUUUUCUACGCAUAACCAAGAUCAAUUUAUGGAGUAAUCUAGCAACGAGGGGAAGGAGAGUGCAUCUACAUACCCUUGUAGAUCGCUAAGCGGAAGCGUUCAAGUGAACGGGGUUGAUGGAGUCGUACUCGCCGUGAUCCAAAUCACCGAUGAUCCUAGUGCCGAACGGACAGCACCUCCGCGUUCAACACACAUGCAGCCCGGUGACGUCUCCCAUGCCUUGAUCCAGCAAGGAGAGAGGGAGAGGUUGGGGAAGACUCCGUCCAGCAGCAGCACGACGGCGUGGUGGUGGUGGAGGAGCGUGGUACUCCAGCAGGGCUUCGCCAAGCACCGUAAGAGACGAGGAGGGAGAGGGGUAGGGCUGCGCCAAGAAGGAGAUGUUCUCGUAUGUAUGGCAGCCCAAAACCCCACUAUAUAUAGGGGAAAGGGAGGGGCUGCGCCCCCACCUAGGUUUCCACCCCUAGGGGUGGCGGCCAGCCCUAGAUCCCAUCUAGGGGGGCGGCCAAGGGGGGAGAGAGGGGGGCGCACCACUAGGUGGGCCUUAGGCCCAUCUGAGCCUAGGGUUUCCCCUUUUCCCUUCUCUCUUCGCCUUGGGCCCUGGUGGGGGGGCGCACCAGCCCACCUGGGGCUGGUCCCCUCUCACACUUGGCCCUCGUAGCCCUCUGGGGCAGGUAGCCCCACCUGGUGGACCCCCGGGACCCUCCCGGUGGUCCCGGUACGUUACCGAUAGCACCUGAAACUUUUCCGGUGACCAAAACAGGACUUCCCAUAUAUAAAUCUUUACCUCCGGACCAUUCCGGAACUCCUCGUGAUGUCGGGGAUCUCAUCCGAGACUCUGAACAACAUUUGGUAACCACGUAUAUCUAUUCCCUAUAACCCUAGCGUCAUCGAACCUUAAGUGUGUAGACCCUACGGGUUCGGGAACCAUGCAGACAUGACCGAGACACCUCUCUGGCCAAUAAACAACAGCAGGAUCUGGAUACCCAUGUUGGCUCCCACAUGUUCCACGAUGAUCUCAUCGGAUGAACCACGAUGUCGAGGAUUCAAUCAAUCCCGUAUUCAAUUCCCUUUGUCUAGCGGUAUUGUACUUGCCCGAGAUUCGAUCGUCGGUAUCCGAUACCUUGUUCAAUCUCGUUACUGGCAAGUCUCUUUACUCGUUCCAUAACACAUCAUCCCGUGAUCAACUCCUUGGUCACAUUGCGCAUAUGAUGAUGUCCUACCGAGCGGGCCCAGAGAUACCUCUCCGUCACACGGAGUGACAAAUCCCAGUCUCGAUUCGUGCCAACCCAACAGACACUUUCGGAGAUAUCCGUAGUGUACCUUUAUAGCCACCCAGUUACGUUGUGACGUUUGGCACACCCAAAGCAUUCCUACGGUAUCUGAGAGUUGCACAAUCUCAUGGUCUAAGGAAAUGAUACUUGACAUUAGAAAAGCUUUAGCAUACGAACUACACGAUCUUAGUGCUAGGCUUAGGAUUGGAUCUUGUCCAUCACAUGAUUCUCCUAAUGAUGUGAUCCCGUUAUCAACGACAUCCAAUGUCCAUGGUCAGGAAACCGUAACCAUCAAUUGAUCAACGAGCUAGUCAACUAGAGGCUUACUAGGGACAUGGUGUUGUCUAUGUAUUCACACAUGUAUCUGAGUUUCCUAUCAAUACAAUUAUAGCAUGGAUAAUAAACGAUUAUCAUGAACAAGGAAAUAUAAUAAUAACCAAUUUAUUAUUGCCUCUAGGGCAUAUUUCCAACAGUCUCCCACUUGCACUAGAGUCAAUAAUUUAGUUCACAUCGCCAUGUGAUUAACAUUCACAGGUCACAUCGCCAUGUGACCAACAUCCAAAGAGUUUACUAGAGUUCAAUAAUCUAGUUCACAUCACUAUGUGAUUAACACUCAAUGAGUUCUGGGUUUGAUCAUGUUACUUGUGAGAGAGGUUGUAGUCUACGGGCCUGUCACAUUCAGAUCCGUAUGUACUUUGCAAAUUUCUACACUAUAUUUGGAGCCAUUUCAAAUAACGGUUCUACUUGGAGCUAUUCUAAAUUGUUGCUCCAUUAUACGUAUCCGGUAUCUCUACUCAGAGCUAUCCGGAUAGGUGUUAAGCUUGCAUCGACGUAACUCUUUACGUCGAACUCUUUAUCACCUCCAUAACCGAGAAACAUAUCCUUAUUCCUCUAAGGAUAAUUUUGACCGCUAUCUGGUAAUCUACUCCUAGAUCACCUUUGUACCCUCUUGCCAGACAUGUGGCAAGGCACACAUCAGGUGCGGUACUUAGCAUGGCAUACCGUAUAGAGCCUAUGACAAAAGCAUAGGGGACGACCUUCAUCCUUCCUCUUUCUUCUGUCGUGGUCGAGCUUUAAGUCUUAACUUCAUACCUUACAACUCAGGCAAGAACUCCUUCUUUGGCUGAUCCAUCUUGAACACCUUCAAGAUCAUGUCAAGGUAUGUGCUCAUUUGAAAGUACCAUUAAGCGUUUUUUAUCUAUCCUUAUAGAUCUUGAUGCUCAAUGUUCAAGUAGCUUAAUCCAGGUUUUCCAUUGAAAAAACACCUUUCAAACAACCCUAUAUGCUUUCCAGAAAUUCUACAUCAUUUCGGAUCAACAAUAUGUCAUCCACAUAUACUUAUCUGAAAUGUUGUAGUGCUCCCACUCACUUUAUUAUAAAUACAAGUUUCUAACAAACUUUGUAUAAACCCAUAAACUUUGAUUGCUCCAUCAAAGUAUAUAUUCCGACCCCAAGAUGCUUGCUCUAGUCCAUGGAUGGAUCGCUGGAGCUAGCAUACCUUUUAGCAUCCUUAGGAUCGACAAAACCUUUUUGAUUGUAUCACAUACAACCUUUCCUUACGAAAACUGGUAAGGAAACUUGUUUUGACAUCCAUCUGCCAGAUUUCAUAAAUACAGCUUAUGCUAACACGAUUCCGACGGACUUAAGCAUCGCUACGGGUGAGAAAAUCUCAUCGUAGUCAACUUCUUGAACUUGUGAAAAACUCUUCGCCACAAGUCGAGCUUCAUAGACGAUGACAUUACCGUCCACGUCCGUCUUCUUCUUAAAAUCCACAUGUACCUAACAGCCUUACGACCAUCAAGUAGUUCUUCCAAAGUCUACAGUUUGUUUUCAUACAUGGAUCCUCUCUCGGAUUUUAUGGCCUCGAGCCAAUUUUCGGAAUCCGGGCCCACCAUCGCUUCUCCAUAGCUCAUAGGUUCAUCGUUGUCCAACAACGUGACCUUUAAGACAGGGUUACCACUUAGAAGUUGUACACACCCUUGUCAACCCAUGAGGUUCGAAAGUAACUUGAUCUGAAGCUCCAUGAUCAUCAUCAUUAGCUUUCUCUUCAACUGAGGCAGGUGCCACAGAAACAUUUUUCCUGUGCUGCGCUACUCUCUGGUUGAAGUAAAGGUUCAACAACCUUAUCAAGUUCUAUCUUCCUCCCACUCAAUUCUUUCGAGAGAAACUUUUCCUCGAGAAAGGACCCGAUUCGAGAAACAAUCCCUAUUGCUUUCGGAUCUGAGACAGGAGGUAUACCCAACUAUUUUGGGUGUCCUAUGAAGAUGCAUUUAUCCGCUUUGGGUUCGAGCUUAUCGGCCUGAAACUUUUCCACAUAAGCGUUGCAGCCCCAAACUUUUAAGAAAUGACAGCUUAGGUUUCUCUAAACCAUAGUUCAUACGGUGUCAUCUCAUCGGAAUUACGUGGUGCCCUAUUUAAAGUGAAUGUGGUUGUCUCUAAUGCCUAACCCAUAAACUAUCGUGGUAAUUCGAUAAGAGACAUCAUGGUAUGCAUCAUAUCCAAUAGGGUGCAGUUAUGAUGUUCGGACACACCAUCACACUAUGGCGUUCCAGGCUGUAUUAGUUGUGAAACAAUUUCCACAAUGUCUUAAUUCUGUGCCAAACUCAUAAUUCAGAUAUUCAUCUCUAUGAUCAUAUCAUAGAUAUUUUAUCCUCUUGUCACGACGAUCUUCAACUUCACCCUGAAAUUACUUGAACCUUUCAAUAAUUCAGACUCGUGAUUCAUCAAGUAAAUAUACUCAGCAUCUGCUCAAAUCAUCUGUGAAGUAAGAAUAUAAUGAUAUCCACUACAUGCCUCAGCACUCAUUGGACUGCACACAUCAAGAUGUAUUACUUCCAACAAGUUGCUUUCUUGUUCCAUCUUACUGAAAACAAGGCCUUUCAGUCAUCUUGCUCAUGUGGUAUGAUUUGCAUGUCUCAAGUGAUUCAAAAUCAAGCGAGUCCAAAGAUCCAUCAACAUGGAGCUUCUUCAUGCGUUUUAUACCAUUGUGACUAAAAUUGCAGUGCCACAAGUAUGUGGUACUAUCAUUACUAUCUUAUAUCUUUUGGCAUGAACAUGUGUAUCACUACGAUCGGGAUUCAAUAAACCAUUCAUUUUAGGUGUAAGACCAUUGAAGGUAUUAUUCAAAUAAACAGAGUAACCAUUAUUCUCCUUAAAUGAAUAACCGCAUUGCGAUGAACAUAAUCUAAUCAUGUCCAUGCUCAACGCAAACACCAAAUAACAAUUAUUUAGGUUUAACACCAACCCCGAUGGUAGACGGAGCUGCGAUGUUUGAUCACAUCAACCUUGGAAACUCUUCCAACACCUAUCGUCGUCUCACCUUUGGCUAGUCUCCGUUUAUUCUUUAGCCUUUUAUUUCGAGUUACUAACACUUAGCAACCGAACCGGUAUCUAAUACCCUGCUGCUACUAGGAGUACUAGUAAAGUACACAUUUAAUAUAUGUCCAAUACAUACUUCUGUCAACCUUGUCAGCCUUCUCAUCUACCAAGUAUCUAGGGUGGUUCUGCUUCAGUGACCGUUCCCCUUAUUAUAGAAGCACUUAGUCUCGGGCUUGGGUUCAACUUUGGGUUUCUUCACUAGAGCAGCAACUGAUUUGUUGUUUCAUGAAGUAUCCCUUUCUUGCCCUUGCCCUUCUUGAAACUAGUGGUUUUACUAACCAUUAACAAUUGAUGCUCCCUUUUGAUUUCUACUUUCGCGAUGUCGCGAAUAGCUCAAGGAUCAUAUCUAUCCCUGAUAUGUUAUAGUUCAUCACGAAGCUCGAGUAGCUUGGUGACAGUGACUUUGGAGAACCAUCACUAUCUCAUCUGGAAGAUUAACUCCCACUCGAUUCAAGCGAUUGUUGUACUCAUACAAUCUGAGCACAUGAUCAACGAUUGAGCUUUUCUCCUUAGUUUGCAGGCUUAAGAAACUUGUCAAAGGUCUCAUACCUCUAGACGUGGGCACUAGCCUGAAAUCCCAAUUUCAGUCCUUGGAACAUCUCAUAUGUUCUGCGAUGUUUCAAAAACAUCUUUGGUGCCUCAAUUCUAAACCAUUUAGCAUUAUGCACUGAACUAUCAUGUAGUCAUCAAAACGUGUAUGUCAGAUGUUCGCAACAUCCACAACCGACAUUCGUGGGUCAGCUCACCGAGCGGUGCAUUAAGGACAUAAUCCUUCUGCGCAGCAAUGAGGACAAUCCUCUGUUUACGAUCCAGUCCGCAUAAUUGCUACUAUCAACUUUCAACUAAAUUUUCUCUGGGAACAUAUCUAAAAUGGUAGAACUAAAGCGUGAGCUACGACAUAAUUUGCAAAGUCCUUUUGACUAUGUUCAUGAUAAUUGAGUUCAUCUGAUUAUUUCAUGAACUCCCACUCAGAUAGACAUCCCUCUAGUCAUCUAAGUGAUAAAUGAUCCGAAUCGACUAGGCCGUGUCCGAUCAUCACGUGAGACGGACUCGUCAUCAUCGGUGAACAUCUCAUGUUGAUCGCAUCUUCUAUACGACUCAUGUUCGACCUUUCGGUCCUCCGUGUUCCGAGGCCAUGUCUGUACAUGCUAGGCUCGUCAAGUUAACCUAAGUGUUUCACAUGUGUUCCGAGGCCAUGUCUGUACAUGCUAGGCUCGUCAACACCCGUUGUAUUCGAAAGUAAGAAUCUAUCACACCCGGUCAUCACGUGGUGCUUCGAAACGACGAACCUUCGCAACGGUGCACAGUUAGGGAAAACACUUUUCUUGAAAUUUUAGUGAGGGAUCAUCUUAUUUAAGCUACCAUCGUUCUAAGCAAAUAAGAUGUAAAAACAUGAUAAAACAUCACAUGCAAUCAAAUAGUGACAUGAUAUGGCCAUCAUCACUUUGCUCCUUUUGAUCUCCAUCUUCGGGGCUCCAUGAUCAUCAUCGUCACCGGCAUGACACCAUGAUCUCCAUCAUCAUGAUCUCCAUCAUCGUGUCUUCAUGAAGUUGUCUCGCCAACUAUUACUUCUACUACUACAGCUAACGGUUAGCAAUAAAGUAAAGUAAUUACAUGACGUUUAUGUUGACACACAGGUCAUAAAUAAAUCAAGACAACUCCUAUGGUUCCUGCCGGUUGUCAUACUCAUCGACAUGCAAGUCGUGAUUCCUAUUACAAGAACAUAAUCAAUCUCAUACAUCACAUAUAUCAUUCAUCACAUCCUUUUGGCCAUAUCACAUCACAAGGCAUAUGCUGCAAAAACAAGUUAGACGUCCUCUAAUUGUUGUUGCAAGUUUUUACGUGGCUGCUAUAGGUUUCUAGCAAGAACGUUUCUUACCUACGCGAAAACCACAACGUGAUAUGCCAAUUUCUAUUUACCCUUCAUAAGGACCCUUUUCAUCGAAUCCGAUCCGACUAAAGUGGGAGAGACAGACACCCGCCAGCCACCUUAUGAAACUAGUGCAUGUCAGUCGGUGGAACCGGUCUCACCUAAGCGUACGUGUAAGGUUGGUCCGGGCCGCUUCAUCCCACAAUGCCGCCGAAUCAAGAUAAGACUAGUAAUGGCAAGUAAAUUGACAAAAUCGACGCCCACAACUACUUUGUGUUCUACCCGUGCAUAGAAACUACGCAUAGACCUAGCUCAUGAUGCCACUGUUGGGGAACGUAGCAGAAAUUCAAAGUUUUCUACGCAUCACCAAGAUCAAUCUAGCAACGAGGGGAAGGAGAGUGCAUCUACAUACCCUUGUAGAUCGCUAAGCUGAAGCGUUCAAGUGAACGGGGUUGAUGGAGUCGUACUCGCCGUGAUCCAAAUCACCGAUGAUCCUAGUGCCGAACGGACGACACCUCCGCGUUCAACACACAUGCAGCCCGGUGACGUCUCCCAUGCCUUGAUCCAGCAAGGAGAGAGGGAGAGGUUGGGGAAGACUCCGUCCAGCAGCACAACGGCGUGGUGGUGGUGGAGGAGCGUGGUACUCCAGCAGGGCUUCGCCAAGCACCGUAAGAGACGAGGAGGGAGAGGGGUAGGGCUGCGCCAAGAAGGAGAUGUUCUCGUAUGUAUGGCAGCCCAAAACCCCACUAUAUAUAGGGGAAAGGGAGGGGCUGCGCCCCCACCUAGGUUUCCACCCCUAGGGGUGGCGGCUAGCCCUAGAUCCCAUCUAGGGGGGCGGCCAAGGGGGAAGAGAGGGGGGGUGCACCACUAGGUGGGCCUUAGGCCCAUCUGAGCCUAGGGUUUCCCCUUUUCCCUUCUCUCUUCGCCUUGGGCCCUGGUGGGGGCGCACUAGCCCACCUGGGGCUGGUCCCCUCUCACACUUGGCCCACGCAGCCCUCUGGGGCAGGUAGCCCCACCUGGUGGACCCCCAGGACCCUCCCGGUGGUCCCGGUACGUUACCGAUAGCACCUGAAACUUUUCCGGUGACCAAAACAGGACUUCCCAUAUAUAAAUCUUUACCUUCGGACCAUUCCGGAACUCCUCGUGAUGUCCGGGAUCUCAUCUGGGACUCCGAACAACAUUCGGUAACCACGUAUAUCUAUUCCCUAUAACCCUAGCGUCAUCGAACCUUAAGUGUGUAGACCCUACGGGUUCGGGAACCAUGCAGACAUGACCGAGACACCUCUCUGGCCAAUAACCAACAGCGGGAUCUGGAUACCCAUGUUGGCUCCUACAUGUUCCACGUGUAGGGGAACGUAGUAAUUUCAAAAAAAUUCCUACGCACACACAAGAUCAUGGUGAUGCACAGCAACGAGAGGGGAGAGUGUUGUCUACGUACCAACGCAGACUGACUGCGGAAGCGAUCACACAACGUAGAGGAAGUAGUCGUACGUUUUCCCGAUCCGACCGAUCCAAGCACCGUUACUCCGGCACCUCCGAGUUCUUAGCACACGUACAGCUCGAUGACGAUCCCCGGGCUCCGAUCCAGCAAAGCGUCAGGGAAGAGUUCCGUCAGCACGACGGCGCGGUGACGAUCUUGAUGUUCUACCGUCGCAGGGCUUCGCCUAAGCGCCGCUACAAUAUGAUCGAGGUGGAAUAUGGUGGCAGGGGGCACCGCACACGGUUAUGGAACGAUCACGGGGAUCAAUUGUGUGUCUAGAGGUGCCCCUGCCCCUGUAUAUAAAGGAGCAAGGGGAGAGAGGUGCGGCCAGCCUUGGGGCGCGCCACGAGGAGUCCUACUCCCUCUGGGAGUAGGAUUCCCCCCCAAUCCUAGUUGGAAUAGGAAUCCUCAAGGGGGGAAAGAGAGAGAGGGGGGCCGGCCACCUUGGGCUGCCCCUUUCUCCUUUCCACUAAGGCCCAUGAAGGCCCAUAUGGCUCCCGGGGGGUUCCGGUAACCUCCCGGUACUCCGGUAAAAUCCCGAUUUCACCCGGAACACUUCCGAUAUCCAAAUAUAGGCUUCCAAUAUAUCAAUCUUUAUGUCUCGACCAUUUUGAGACUCCUCGUCAUGUCCGUGAUCACAUCCAGGACUCCGAACAACCUUCGGUACAUCAAAAUGCAUAAACUCAUAAUAACUGUCAUCGUAACGUUAAGCGUGCGGACCCUACGGUUCGAGAACAAUGUAGACAUGACCGGGACACGUCUCCGGUCAAUAACCAAUAGCGGGACCUGGAUGCCCAUAUUGGCUCCUACAUAUUCUAUGAAGAUCUUUAUCGGUCAGAUCGCAUAACAACAUACAUUGUUCCCUUUGUCAUCGGUAUGUUACUUGCCCGAGAUUCGAUCGUCGGUAUCCAAUACCUAGUUCAAUCUCGUUACCGGCAAGUCUCUUUACUCGUUUUGUAAUACAUCAUCCGGCUACUAACUCAUUAGUUGCAAUGCUUGCAAGGCUUAUGUGAUGUGCAUUACCGAGAGGGCCCCAGAGAUACCUCUCCGACAAUCGGAGUGACAAAUCCUAAUCUCGAAAUACGCCAACCCAACAUCUACCUUUGGAGACACCUGUAGAGCUCCUUUAUAAUCACCCAUUUACGUUGUGACGUUUGGUAGCACACAAAGUGUUCCUCCGGUAAAUGGGAGUUGCAUAAUCUCAUAGUCAUAGGAACAUGUAUAAGUCAUGAAGAAAAGCAAUAGCAACAUACUAAACGAUCGGGUGCUAAGCUAAUGGAAUGGGUCAUGUCAAUCAGAUCAUUCAACUAAUGAUGUGACCUCGUUAAUCAAAUAACAACUCUUUGUUCAUGGUUAGGAAACAUAACCAUCUUUGAUUAACGAGCUAGUCAAGUAGAGGCAUACUAGUGACACUCUGUUUGUCUAUGUAUUCACACAUGUAUUAUGUUUCCGGUUAAUACAAUUCUAGCAUGAAUAAUAAACAUUUAUCAUGAUAUAAGGAAAUAAAUAAUAACUUUUAUUAUUGCCUCUAGGGCAUAUUUCCUUCAGUCUCCCACUUGCACUAGAGUCAAUAAUCUAGAUUACACUGUAAUGAUUCUAACACCCAUGGAGCUUUGGUGCUGAUUAUGUUUUGCUCGUGGAAGAGGCUUAGUCAACGGGUCUGCAACAUUCAGAUUCGUAUGUAUCUUGCGAAUCUCUAUGUCUCCCACCUGGACUAGAUCCCGAAUGGAAUUGAAGCGUCUCUUGAUGUGUUUGGUCCUUUUGUGAAAUCUGGAUUCCUUUGCCAAGGCAAUUGCACCAGUAUUGUCACAAAAGAUUUUCAUUGGACCCGAUGCACUAGGUAUGACACCUAGAUCGGAUAUGAACUCCUUCAUCCAGACUCCUUCGUUCGUUGCUUCCGAAGCAGCUUUGUACUCCGCUUCACAUGUAGAUCCCGCUACGACGCUUUGUUUAGAACUGCACCAACUGACAGCUCCACCGUUUAAUGUAAACACGUAUCCGGUUUGCGAUUUAGAAUCGUCCGGAUCAGUGUCAAAGCUUACAUCAACGUAACCUUUUACGGUGAGCUCUUUGUCACCUCCAUAUACGAGAAACAUAUCCUUAGUCCUUUUCAGGUAUUUCAGGAUGUUCUUGACCGCUGUCCAGUGAUCCACUCCUGGAUUACUUUGGUACCUCCCUGCUAAACUUAUAGCAAGGCACACAUCAGGUCUGGUACACAGCAUUGCAUACAUGAUAGAGCCUAUGGCUGAAAUAUAGGGAACAUCUUUCAUUUUCUCUCUAUCUUCUGCAGUGGUCGGGCAUUGAGUCUGACUCAACUUCACACCUUGUAACACAGGCAAGAACCCUUUCUUUGCUUGAUCCAUUUUGAACUUCUUCAAAAUCUUGUCAAGGUAUGUGCUUUGUGAAAGUCCAAUUAAGCGUCUCGAUCUAUCUCUAUAGAUCUUUAUGCCUAAUAUGUAAGCAGCUUCACCGAGGUCUUUCAUUGAAAAACUCUUAUUCAAGUAUCCCUUUAUGCUAUCCAGAAAUUCUAUAUCAUUUCCAAUCAGCAAUAUGUCAUCCACAUAUAAUAUCAGAAAUGCUACAGAGCUCCCACUCACUUUCUUGUAAAUACAGGCUUCUCCGAAAGUCUGUAUAAAACCAAAUGCUUUGAUCACAUUAUCAAAACGUUUAUUCCAACUCCGAGAGGCUUGCACCAGUCCAUAAAUGGAUCGCUGGAGCUUGCACACUUUGUUAGCUCCCUUUGGAUCGACAAAACCUUCCGGUUGCAUCAUAUACAACUCUUCUUCCAGAAAUCCAUUCAGGAAUGCAGUUUUGACAUCCAUCUGCCAAAUUUCAUAAUCAUAAAAUGCGGCAAUUGCUAACAUGAUUCAGACAGACUUAAGCAUCGCUACGGGUGAGAAGGUCUCAUCGUAGUCAACCCCUUGAACUUGUCGAAAACCUUUUGCGACAAGUCGAGCUUUGUAGACAGUAACAUUACCAUCAGCGUCAGUCUUCUUCUUGAAGAUCCAUUUAUUCUCAAUUGCUUGCCGAUCAUCGGGCAAGUCAACCAAAGUCCAUACUUUGUUCUCAUACAUGGAUCCCAUCUCAGAUUUCAUGGCUUCAAGCCACUUUGCGCAAUAUGGGCUCACCAUCGCUUCUUCAUAGUUCGUAGGUUCAUCAUGAUCUAGUAGCAUGAUUUCCAGAACAGGAUUACCGUACCACUCUGGCGCGGAUCUUACUCUGGUUGAUCUACGAGGUUCAGUAGUAUAUUGAUCUGAAGUUUCAUGAUCAUCAUCAUUAGCUUCCUCACUUAUUGGUGUAGGUGUCGCAGAAACAGUUUUCUGUGAUAUACUACUUUCCAAUAAAGGAGCAGGUACAGUUACCUCGUCAACUUCUACUUUCCUCCCACUCACUUCUUUCAAGAGAAACUCCUUCUCUAAAAAGGAUCCAUACUUAGCAACGAAUGUCUUGCCUUCGGAUCUGUGAUAGAAGGUGUACCCAACAGUCUCCUUUGGGUAUCCUAUGAAGACACAUUUCUCCGAUUUGGGUUCGAGCUUAUCAGGUUGAAGCUUUUUCACAUAAGCAUCGCAGCCCCAAACUUUAAGAAACGACAACUUUGGUUUCUUGCCAAACCACAGUUCAUAAGGCGUCGUCUCAACGGAUUUUGAUGGUGCCCUAUUUAACGUGAAUGCGGCCGUCUCUAAAGCAUAACCCCAAAACGAUAGCGGUAAAUUAGUAAGAGACAUCAUAGAUCGCACCAUAUCUAGUAAAGUACGAUUACGACGUUUGGACACACCAUUACACUGUGGUGUUCCGGGUGGCGUGAGUUGCGAAACUAUUCCACAAUUUUUCAAAUGUACACCAAACUCAUAACUCAAAUAUUCUACUCCAUGAUCAGAUCGUAGAAACUUUAUUUUCUUGUUACGAUGAUUUUCAACUUCACUCUGAAAUUCUUUGAACUUUUCAAAUGUUUCAGAUUUAUGUUUCAUUAAGUAGAUAUACCCAUAUCUGCUUAAAUCAUCUGUGAAGGUGAGAAAAUAACGAUACCCGCCACAAGCCUCAAUAUUCAUCGGACCACAUACAUCGGUAUGUAUGAUUUCCAACAAAUCUGUUGCUCUCUCCAUAGUACCGGAGAACGGUGUUUUAGUCAUCUUGCCCAUGAGGCAUGGUUCGCAAGUACCAAGUGAUUCAUAAUCAAGUGGUUCCAAAAGUCCAUCAGUAUGGAGUUUCUUCAUGCGCUUUACACCGAUAUGACCUAAACGACUGUGCCACAAAUAAGCUGCACUUUCAUUAUCAACUCUGUAUCUUUUGGCUUCAACAUUAUGAAUAUGUGUAUCACUACUAUCGAGAUUCAUCAAAAAUAGACCACUCUUCAAAGGUGCAUGACCAUAAAAGAUAUUACUCAUAUAAAUAGAACAACCAUUAUUCUCUGAUUUAAAUGAAUAACCGUCUCGCAUCAAACAAGAUCCAGAUAUAAUGUUCAUGCUCAAUGCUGGCACCAAAUAACAAUUAUUUAGGUCUAAUAUUAAUCCCGAAGGUAGAUGUAGAGGUAGCGUGCCGACCGCGAUCACAUCGACUUUGGAACCGUUUCCCACGCGCAUCGUCACCUCGUCCUUUGCCAGUGCCCGCUUAUUCCGUAGUCCAUGUUUCGAGUUGCAAAUAUUAGCAACAGAACCAGUAUCAAAUACCCAGGUGCUACUGCGAGCUCUAGUAAGGUACACAUCAAUAACAUGUAUAUCACAUAUACCUUUGUUCACCUUGUCAUCCUUCUUAUCCGCCAAAUACUUGGGGCAGUUCCGCUUCCAGUGACCAGUCUGCUUGCAGUAGAAGCACUCAGUUUCAGGCUUAGGUCCAGACUUGGGUUUCUUCUCCUGAGCAGCAACUUGCUUGCUGUUCUUCUUGAAGUUCCCCUUCUUCUUCCCUUUGCCUUUUUUCUUGAAACUAGUGGUCUUGUUAACCAUCAACACUUGAUGCUCCUUCUUGAUUUCUACCUCCGCAGCUUUCAGCAUUGCGAAGAGCUCGGGAAUAGUCUUGUUCAUCCCUUGCAUAUUAUAGUUCAUCACGAAGCUCUUGUAGCUUGGUGGCAGUGAUUGGAGAAUUCUGUCAAUGACGCAAUCAUCCGGAAGAUUAACUCCCAAUUGAAUCAAGUGAUUAUUAUACCCAGACAUGUUGAGUAUAUGCUCACUGACAGAACUGUUCUCCUCCAUCUUGCAGCUAUAGAAUUUAUUGGAGACUUCAUAUCUCUCAAUCCGGGCAUUUGCUUGAAAUAUUAACUUCAACCCCUGGAACAUCUCAUAUGCUCCAUGACGUUCAAAACGUCGUUGAAGUCCCGAUUCUAAGCCAUAAAGCAUGGCACACUGAACUAUCGAGUAGUCAUCAGCUUUGCUCUGCCAGACGUUCAUAACAUCUGGUGUUGCUCCAGCAGCAGGCCUAGCACCCAGCGGUGCUUCUAGGACGUAAUUCUUCUGAGCAGCAAUGAGGAUAAUCCUCAAGUUACGGACCCACUCCGUGUAAUUGCUACCAUCAUCUUUCAACUUUGCUUUCUCAAGGAACGCAUUAAAAUUCAACGGAACAACAGCACGAGCCAUCUAUCUACAAUCAACAUAAACAAGCAAGAUACUAUCAGGUACUAAGUUCAUGAUAAGUUUAAGUUCAAUUAAUCAAAUUACUUAAGAACUCCCACUUAGAUAGACAUCCCUCUAAUCCUCUAAGUGAUCACGUGAUCCAAAUCAACUAAACCAUAACCGAUCAUCACGUGAGAUGGAGUAGUUUUCAAUGGUGAACAUCGUUUAUGUUGAUCAUAUCUACUAUAUGAUUCACGCUCGACCUUUCGGUCUCCGUGUUCCGAGGCCAUAUCUGCAUAUGCUAGGCUCGUCAAGUUUAACCUGAGUAUUCUGCGUGUGCAAAACUGGCUUGCACCCGUUGUAGAUGGACGUAGAGCUUAUCACACCCGAUCAUCACGUGGUGUCUGGGCACGCCGAACUUUGGCAACGGUGCAUACUCAGGGAGAACACUUCUUGAUAAUUUAGUGAGAGAUCAUCUUAUAAUGCUACCGUCAAUCAAAGCAAGAUAAGAUGCAUAAAAAGAUAAACAUCACAUGCAAUCAAUAUAAGUGAUAUGAUAUGGCCAUCAUCAUCUUGUGCUUGUGAUCUCCAUCUCUGAAGCACCGUCAUGAUCACCAUCGUCACCGGCGCGACACCUUGAUCUCCAUCGUAGCAUCGUUGUCGUCUCGCCAAUCUUAUGCUUCCACGACUAUCGCUACCGCUUAGUGAUAAAGUAAAGCAUUACAUCGCGAUUGCAUUGCAUACAAUAAAGCGACAACCAUAUGGCUCCUGCCAGUUGCCGAUAACUCGGUUACAAAACAUGAUCAUCUCAUACAAUAAAAUUCAUCAUCAUGCCUUGACCAUAUCACAUCACAACAUGCCCUACAAAAACAAGUUAGACGUCCUCUACUUUGUUGUUUGCAAGUUUUACGUGGCUGCUACGGGCUUAAGCAAGAACCAAUCUCACCUACGCAUCAAAACCACAACGAUAGUUUGUCAAAUAGACUCCGUUUUAACCUUCGCAAGGACCGGGCGUAGCCACACUCGGUUCAACUAAAAUUGGAGAGACAGUCGCCCGCAAGCCACCUAUGUGCAAAGCACGUCGGGGAAACCGGUCUCGCGUAAGCGUACGCGUAAUGUUGGUCCGGGUCGUCUCGUCCAACAAUACCGCUGAACCAAAGUAUGACAUGCUGGUAGGCAGUAUGACUUAUAUCGCCCACAACUCACUUGUGUUCUACUCGUGCAUAUAACAUCAAACCAUAAAACCAAGCUCGGAUACCACUGUAGGGGAACGUAGUAAUUUCAAAAAAAUUCCUACGCACAUGCAAGAUCAUGGUGAUGCACAGCAACGAGAGGGGAGAGUGUUGUCUAUGUACCAACGCAGACCGACUGCGGAAGCGAUCACACAACAUAGAGGAAGUAGUCGUACGUUUUCCCGAUCCGACCGAUCCAAGCACCGUUACUCCGGCACCUCCGAGUUCUUAGCACACGUACAACUCGAUGACGAUCCCCGGGCUCCGAUCCAGCAAAGCGUCGGGGAAGAGUUCCGUCAGCACGACGGCGCGGUGACGAUCUUGAUGUUCUACCGUCGCAGGGCUUCGCCUAAGCGCCGCUACAAUAUGAUCGAGGUGGAAUAUGGUGGCAGGGGGCACCGCACACGCUUAUGGAACGAUCAUGGGGAUCAAUUGUGUGUCUAGAGGUGCCCCCUGCCCCUGUAUAUAAAGGAGCAAGGGGGGAGAGGUGCGGCCAGCCUUGGGGCGCGCCAGGAGGAGUCCUACUCCCUCUGGGAGUAGGAUUCCCCCCCCCCCAAUCCUAGUUGGAAUAGGAAUCCUCAAGGGGGGGAAGAGAGAGAGGGGGGCCGGCCACCUCUCCUAGUCCUAAUAGGACUAGGGGAGGGGGGAGGCGCGCGGCCACCUUGGGCUGCCCCUUUCUCCUUUCCACUAAGGCCCAUGAAGGCCCAUAUGGCUCCCGGGGGGUUCCGGUAACCUCCCGGUACUCCGGUAAAAUCCCGAUUUCACCCGAAACACUUCCGAUAUCCAAAUAUAGGCUUCCAAUAUAUCAAUCUUUAUGUCUUGACCAUUUCGAGACUCAUCGUCAUGUCCGUGAUCACAUCCGGGACUCCGAACAACCUUCGGUACAUCAAAAUGCAUAAACUCGUAAUAACUGUCAUCGUAACGUUAAGCGUGCGGACCCUACGGUUCGAGAACAAUGUAGACAUGACCGAGACACGUCUCCGGUCAAUAACCAAUAGCGGGACCUGGAUGCCCAUAUUGGCUCCUACAUAUUCUACGAAGAUCUUUAUCGGUCAGAUCACAUAACAACAUACGUUGUUCCCUUUGUCAUCGGUAUGUUACUUGCCCGAGAUUCGAUCGUCGGUAUCCAAUACCUAGUUCAAUCUCGUUACCGGCAAGUCUCUUUACUCGUUCUGUAAUACAUCAUCCUGCUACUAACUCAUUAGUUGCAAUGCUUGCAAGGCUUAUGUGAUGUGCAUUACCGAGAGGGCCCCAGAGAUACCUCUCCGACAAUCGGAGUGACAAAUCCUAAUCUCGAAAUACGCCAACCCAACAUCUACCUUUGGAGACACCUGUAGAGCUCCUUUAUAAUCACCCAUUUACGUUGUGACGUUUGGUAGCACACAAAGUGUUCCUCCGGUAAACGGGAGUUGCAUAAUCUCAUAGUCAUAGGAACAUGUAUAAGUCAUGAAGAAAAGCAAUAGCAACAUACUAAACAAUCGGGUGCUAAGCUAAUGGAAUGGGUCAUGUCAAUCAGAUCAUUCAACUAAUGAUGUGACCUCGUUAAUCAAAUAACAACUCUUUGUUCAUGGUUAGGAAACAUAACCAUCUUUGAUUAACGAGCUAGUCAAGUAGAGGCAUACUAGUGACACUCUGUUUGUCUAUGUAUUCACACAUGUAUUAUGUUUCCGGUUAAUACAAUUCUAGCAUGAAUAAUAAAUAUUUAUCAUGAUAUAAGGAAAUAAAUAAUAACUUUUAUUAUUGCCUCUAGGGCAUAUUUCCUUCACCACGAUGAUCUCAUCGGAUGAACCACGAUGUUGAGGAUUCAAUCAAUCCCGUAUUCAAUUCCCUUUGUCUAGCAGUAUUGUACUUGCCCGAGAUCCGAUCGUCGGUAUCUGAUACCUUGUUCAAUCUCGUUACUGGCAAGUCUCUUUACUCAUUCCGUAACACAUCAUCCUGUGAUCAACUCCUUGGUCACAUUGCGCAUAUGAUGAUGUCCUACCGAGUGGGCCCAGAGAUACCUCUCCGUCACACGGAGUGACAAAUCCCAGUCUCGAUUCGUACCAACCCAACAGACACUUUCGUAGAUACCCGUAGUGUACCUUUAUAGCCACCCAGUUACGUUGUGACGUUUGGCACACCCAAAGCAUUCCUACGGUAUCCGGGAGUUGCACAAUCUCAUGGUCUAAGGAAAUGAUACUUGACAUUAGAAAAGCUUUAGCAUACGAACUACACGAUCUUUAUGCUAGGCUUAGGAUUGGGUCUGGUCCAUCACAUGAUUCUCCUAAUAAUGUGAUCCCGUUAUCAACGACAUCCAAUGUCCAUGGUCAGGAAACCGUAACCAUCAAUUGAUCAACGAGCUAGUAAACUAGAGGCUUACUAGGGACAUGGUGUUGUCUAUGUAUCCACACAUGUAUCUGAGUUUCCUAUCAAUACAAUUAUAGCAUGGAUAAUAAACGAUUAUCAUGAACAAGGAAAUAUAAUAAUAACCAAUUUAUUAUUGCCUCUAGGGCAUAUUUCCAACACAAUCGCGACGUCACGAAAAUAGUUCUUGCAACAUGAUUUUUGUUAAAAAAAUCCACAACAUGGUCUUUGUUACAAAAAAUAUGCAGUCGUUUCGCAACAAGAUCUCUAUUACAAAAAAAUGGCAACAUGAUUUGUGGCGAAAAAAACUUCGAGACGCUUAUGCAACAUGGUCUCUGUUGAAAAAAAUGGAACAUAACCUCUGCUGCAACACAAUCUAUAUUGCAAAUGUUUCUGCAAUAUUAGCACAGUUGCAGUGGUGGUCGCCGUCAGCCACCUGAGGGCUCACGACCUGGCGGGUCUUUUAAAAAGAUCAGUCGAUGGCCGCGUACUACACCCUGUAAAAUUCCGUCGAUCUACUCUCGUCGCAUUUUCUCUACUUCUAAUGUCUCAGUUGGUUGAAUAGUACCACUGUUUAUUUUCGUCUGGUUAUAUUUCGUCAGGUUUAUUUUUGUCUGGUUUAUCUUUGUCUCACAUCCCACCACCAUAUCUCCUCACGUUGAUUUUUUUACCCUCACAAUAAAAACUUUCCUAACCUUUUCAAAGUUUCCUAACUAGACACGUUAUAAACGGACAGGAACCGAUAGCACGUUACCAAUAAAAACUUUCCUAACCUUUUCACCUUUCCUAACUAUCCAUGUUACAAACCGGCAGGAACCAAUAGCAUGACCAAACAAUAAAAUCCAGUUUUCUGGUAAUUAAUUCCAAAUCUCAAUUUUCCUAACGCAACGAUUCGUACUCUCCUAGCAAUUAAGUAGAGUAUGCGGUGACAAUUUGUCUCGUUUUUUUCCUAUCCAUCCCAAAAAAUCAACAUUCAACCUACCGUGUUUCUGUAUGGAAGAUAUCCUAGACAAAUAGGACGUGAUCGUAGUCUGAUUUGAUUGCACAUGACGCGGCACACUUCAUAAAAGGAGCGUCGCACGCAUUCCCCGCCAGACUUCAUGGCGCCUCCCGUCCUCCAUGUCUACUGCCAGACCACGCAAUACCUUCUCCCAUUCUCCAGCGGUUCCGCAUCCCUGCAACACCAACAGGCUCGCAGCCUCCCAGUCGAUGAUCCUCCGUCAUAGUUUUCGACCCCUCCUUGCACCCCGCCAGCGCAACACCCGCUGCCCCGCUUGCACAUGUCGGCGUUGGUUAGCAUCUAUCUCGCUUAUCCCGGGGCGGAGCUCGCCCCAUCGUUGUCGGUGCCAUGGCCAUCUUGCACAUGGAGCCACCUCCGCCGCCAUCCACCAGCGUCGACGACGAGCGCGACCCCGAGUACUGAGAGGCUAUGCGAGGGCGAUGAGGCCGAAGAGUCCAAGUUUGUCCCUUGGCCGCCACCCUUCCUCUCGCACGCGACCACUGCACCAUCUCGCUUGCACGAGCACGACAACCCCCGCUACCAUCCCUCGAACGACGCCCUAUCCUCGCCUCCGGCUGUCUCCUGAAUCCCCCCACCAUGCCGCCUCACCUCGCCUACUCACUUGCACCUGGCAACCGCCGACGCCGGAUCUCGUCUCCAUGGUCAGCGUCGUCGGUCACCUCCCGCUGCCCAGCCACUUCCAUCUUCUCAAAGAAGCCGCCAGUCCUCCAUCUUCUCAAAGAAGCCAAUGGCACUUGGCUCUUGCUGCCGAGUACGCACCUCCCCAUGUCCGGCCGGUGGCAGCAUGUCGAAUUGGUCGCCAUACCACCGAGUAGCCAAUGGUAACUGCCUGGAGUGCCUUUCUUUGCCCGAAGAUCUCAUUUCCGAUCUGGAUUCCAGCAACUAUGGGGCACAAUAAUCGCCGCUUUUGUCUGCAUAACCUUGCCAUUAAUCCAAGUAAGCACUCCUUUUUUGCUUGUUAUAUGUACCAUGUGAUAGUUGCUUGAUUGCUUUUGUUGUUGUUGGCAUUGGUUAUCAUGGGAGAGUUGGAGAGAGCACAUGGAUAAGCAGCUCGCCCGCUUCCUGAACCAAACUUUUGAUUUUGAAUGAACAGUUGUUCUCUGUUCUCAGGCUUUCUUUUGAUUUUAGGUCUGUAUGUAUGAAUAGUAGUGUUUGCUCGAUGCUGAUUGGUAUAAGGACUAAAGGAUGUAUGUAGCUUUUUUAUCUGUCGGACAAUUGGAUGUUUCACACUAACAUAAUUGAGUGAGUCUUGGUAUUCAGGACAAAGUUAUUAACAAAGGUUGACUUAGCUAGGUCCUGCAGAUGCAAAAUACAGUAUGCGAGACGAUUAGAUUAUCAUUUUUUUUCAAAAGGGGGAGAUCCCCGGCCUCUGCAUCAGAAUGAUGCAUACGGCCACAUUUAUUAUGAAGUAAAUCAGUUCAACAAAGGUCUCAAAGUCUCAAGCAAAAGAACAAAAGAUGCUCAUAAAGAGCUAAAGAGUACAAAUAAAGCCACAACCGGCUGGCAAAAGAAAGAUAGGAAAACUAAUUGACUAUCUUAUUACAUGACCGCCAUCCAAACCGGUUGAAAAUAGCCCGUGCUACCAUCUCCCAUCGGAUAGAUCCAGUAACCAAACGCUCCCUGGCCUCCGUCGGAGUGAGUAGCGACCACAUACGGAUCAACGCAGUGGCACGGAAGGUAACCUGCAAAAAAUGAGUAUUUGUUAUUCUGUUAGAGACCAAAUCAUUUCUGCAAUUCCAGAUAGCCUAUAAUAAAGCACAUACUCCUACACGAAUAUGUCUCGCUGUUUCGGAAUCUAUCCCAUCAAGCCACGUCCCAAAUAACAUGUUGAUAUUAUUCGGAGGAGCAAUAUUAAAGGCUAUGUGAACUGACCGCCACAAAAUUUUUGCCAACGGGCAAUCAAGAAAGAGGUGUCUGAUGGAUUCAUCCCGAUCACAAAAACUACAUCUAGUAGAUCCAGUCCAGUUGCGUUUUACCAAGUUAUCCUUAGUUAAAAUGACUUGUUUGUGUACAAACCACAAAAACACUUUAACUCUCAAGGGUACUUUGACAUACCAAACAUGUUUCGAAGUAGGAAUAGAGCUAGAAUUAAUAACAUCCAGAUACAUGGAUUUAACCAUAAACUCUUCAUUCCUAGUUAGCUUCCAACACAACUGAUCGGGUCAUUGAUAAAGCUGAACAUCCAUCAAUCUUCUCACAAGAUGGAGUCAAGCUUCCCAACGGUUUCCGGCUAGCGCUCUCCUCAAGUGAAUAUUGAGAGGCGUGGACUGAAACACUGUCUCAACGGAUGCGUCUCUCUGUUGAACAAUGCUAUAAAGAGAAGGAUAUUGAAGCGGGAGGGGUGUGUCCUGAAGGAAAUAUGCCCUAGAGGAAAUAAUAAAGUUAUUAUUUAUUUCCUUAUUUCAUGAUAAAUGUUUAUUAUUCAUGCUAGAAUUGUAUUAACCGGAAACAUAAUACAUGUGUGAAUACAUAGACAAACAGAGUGUCACUAGUAUGCCUCUACUUGAGUAGCUCGUUGAUCAAAGAUGGUUAUGUUUCCUAACCAUAGACAUGAGUUGUCAUUUGAUAAACGGGAUCACAUCAUUAGGAGAAUGAUGUGAUUGACUUGACCCAUUCCGUUAGCUUAGCACUUGAUCAUUUUAGUUUACUGCUAUUGCUUUCUUCAUGACUUAUACAUGUUCCUAUGACUAUGAGAUUAUGCAACUCCCGAUUACCGGAGGAACACUUUGUGUGCUACCAAACGUCACAACGUAACUGGGUGAUUAUAAAGGUGCUCUACAGGUGUCUCCGAUGGUACUUAUUGAGUUGGCAUAGAUCGAUAUUAGAAUUUGUCACUCCGAUUGUCGGAGAGGUAUCUCUGGGCCCUCUCAGUAAUGCACAUCACCAUAAGCCUUGCAAGCAAUGUAACUAAUGAGUUAGUUGCGGGAUGAUGCAUUACCGAACGAGUAAAGAGACUUGUUGGUAACGAGAUUGAACUAGGUAUUGAGAUACCGACGAUCGAAUCCCGGGCAAGUAACAUACCGAUGACAAAGGGAACAACGUAUGCUGUUAUGCGGUUCGAUCGAUAAAGAUCUUCGUAGAAUAUGUAGGAGCCAAUAUGGGCAUCCAGGUUCCGCUAUUGGUUAUUGACCAGAGAAGUGUCUCGGUCAUGUCUACAUAGUUCUCGAACCCGUAGGGUCCGCACGCUUAACAUUCGUUGACGAUAUAGUAUUUAUGAGUUAUGUAUGUUGGUAACCGAAUGUUGUUAGGAGUUCCGGAUAAGAUCACGGACAUGACGAGGAACUCUGGAAUGGUCCGGAGAUAAAGUUUGAUAUAUGGGAUAAUAGUGUUUGGUCUCCGGAAGGGUUCCGGAAUUCACCGGAAGGGGUUCCGGAUGUUUCCCGAAAUGUUUGGGUAUGAGAACACUUGAUUUGGGCCAAUGGGGAAAGCCCACAAGGUUUUUGGAAAGCGCAAAAAGGAAGUUUUGCGGAGUCCAGGGGCCAGAUGUCAGGGUCCCUGGCGUCUGGGUCCAGACGCCGGGAACCCUGGCGUCUGGCCCUGGAGUUCGAGAAGGACUCUUGCCUUUCGGGUGAAACCGACUUUGUGGAGGCUUUUACUCCAAGUUUCGACCCCAAGGAUCAACAUAUAAAUAGAGGGGUAGGGCUAGCACCCAAGACACAUCAAGAAACACCAAGCCGUGUGCUGGCAACCCAGUCCCCUCUAGUUUAUCCUCCGUAAUAGUUUUCGUAGUGCUUAGGCGAAGCCCUGCGGAGAUUGUUCUUCACCAACACCAUCACCACGCCGUUGUGCUGCCGGAACUCAUCUACUACUUCGCCCCUCUUGCUGGAUCAAGAAGGCGAGGACAUCAUCGAGUUGAAUGUGUGCUGAACGCGGAGGUGCCAUACGUUCGGUACUUGAUCGGGACAGAUCGUGAAGGUGUACAACUACCUCAACGGCGUUGAUAAACGCUUCCGCUUUCGGUCUACGAGGGUACGUAGAUAUACUCUCCCCUCUCGUUGCUAUGCAUCACCAUGAUCUUGCGUGUGUGUAGGAUUUUUUUUGAAAUUACUACGUUCCCCAACAGUGGCAUCUGAGCCAGGUUUAUGCAUAGAUGUUAUAUGCAUGAGUAGAACACCAGUGAGUUAUGGGCGAUACAAGUCAUACUGCUUACCAGUAUGUCAUACUUUGGUUUGGCGGUAUUGUUGGAUGAAGCGACCCGGACCGACAUUAGGCGUACACUUACGCGAGACUGGUUCUACCAACGUGCUUUGCACACAGGUGGCUGGCCGGUGUCAGUUUCUCUAACUUUAGUUGAACCGAGUGUGACUACGCCCGGUCCUUGUUGAAGGUUAAAACAACACUAACUCGACGAAAUAUCGUUGUGGUUUUGAUGCGUAGGUAAGAACGGUUCUUGCUCAACCCAUAGCAGCCACGUAAAACUUGCAACAACAAAGUAGAGGACCGUUUUUGCAGGGCAUGUUGUGAUGUGAUAUGGUCAAGGCAUGAUGCUAUAUUUUAUUGUAUGAGAUGAUCAUGUUUUGUAACAGAGUUAUCGGCAACUGGCAGGAGCCAUAUGGUUGUCGCUUUAUUGUACGCAAUGCAAUCACCCUAUAAUUGCUUUACUUUAUCACUAAGCGGUAGCGAUAGUCGUAGAAGCAAUAGUUGGCGAGACAAAAACGAUGCUACGAGGAGAUCAAGGUGUCGCGUCGGUGACGAUGGUGAUCAUGACGGUGCUUUGGAGAUGGAGAUCAUGGGCACAAGAUGAUGAUGGCCAUGUCAUAUCACUUAUAUUGAUUGCAUGUGAUGUUUUAUUCUGCUUGAUUGAUGGUAGCAUUAUAAGAUGAUCUCUCACUAAAUUUCAAGGUACAAGUGUUCUCCCUGAGUAUGCACUGUUUCCAAAGUUCGUCGUGCCGAGAUACCACAUGAUGAUCGGGUGUGAUAAGCUCUACGUUCACAUACAACGGGUGCAAGCCAAUUUUGCACACGCAGAAAUACUCGGGUUAAACUUGACGAGCCUAGCAUAUGCAGAUAUGGCCUCGGAACACUGAGACCGAAAGGUCGAGCGUGAAUCAUAUAGUAGAUAUGAUCUACAUAGUGAUGUUCACCAUUGAAAACUACUCCAUUUCACGUGAUGAUCGGUCAUGGUUUAGUUGAUUUGGAUCACGUAAUCACUUAUAUGAUUAGAGGGAUGUAUAUCUAAGUGGGAGUUCUUAAAUAUGAUUAAUUGAACUUUAAUUUAUCAUGAACUUAGUACCUGAUAGUACCUGGAGAGAGUGUUGUACCCCAGCAUAAGCUGGUGGUUGCUGACUUCCGCUUUCGGAUUCGUCUCUAGCGGGAUAAGAGUGCCAAAGUCGCUAGAACGAAUUGGUGGAAGCUCAAGGGGGAGGCAGCUCAGGUGUUCAAGGAGAGGGUCAUUAAGGAGGGCCCUUGGGAGGAAGGAGGGGAUGCGGACAAUGUGUGGAUGAAGAUGGCGACUUGCAUUCGUAAGGUGGCCUCGGAGGAGUUUGGAGUGUCCAGGGGAAGGAGAAGCGAAGAUAAGGAUACCUGGUGGUGGAAUGAUGAUGUCCAGAAGGCGAUUAAAGAGAAGAAAGAUUGCUUCAGACGCCUAUACCUGGAUAGGAGCGCAGACAACAUAGAUAAGUACAAGAUGGCGAAGAAGGCCGCAAAGCGAGCUGUUGGUGAAGCAAGGGGUCGGGCAUAUGAGGAGCUCUACCAACGGUUAGGCACGAAGGAAGGUGAAAGGGACAUCUAUAAGAUGGCCAAGAUCCGAGAGAGGAAGACGAGGGAUAUUGGCCAAGUCAAAUGCAUUAAGGACGGAGCAGGCCAACUCUUGGUGAAGGACGAGGAGAUUAAGCAUAGAUGGUGGGAGUACUUCGACAAGCUGUUCAAUGGGGAGAAUGAGAGUUCUACCAUUGAACUGGGAGACUCCUUUGAUGAGACCAGCAUGCGUUUUGUGCGGCGAAUCCAGGAGUCUGAGGUGAAGGAGGCUUUAAAAAGGAUGAGAGGAGGCAAGGCGAUGGGCCCUGAUUGUAUCCCCAUUGAGGUGUGGAAAGGUCUCGGGGACAUAGCGAUAGUAUGGCUAACCAAGCUUUUCAACCUCAUUUUUCGGGCAAACAAGAUGCCAGAAGAAUGGAGACGGAGUAUAUUAGUACCAAUCUUCAAGAACAAGGGGGAUGUUCAGAGUUGUACUAAUUACUGUGGAAUUAAGCUGAUGAGCCAUACAAUGAAGCUAUGGGAGAGAGUCAUUGAGCACCGCUUAAGAAGAAUGACAAGCGUGACCAAAAAUCAGCUUGGUUUCAUGCCUGGGAGGUCGACCAUGGAAGCCAUUUUCUUGGUACGACAACUUAUGGAGAGAUAUAGGGAGAAAAAGAAGGACUUGCAUAUGGUGUUCAUUGACUUGGAGAAGGCCUAUGAUAAGAUAUCGCGGAAUGUCAUGUGGUGGGCCUUGGAGAAACACAAAGUCCCAGCAAAGUACAUUACCCUCAUCAAGGACAUGUACAAUAAUGUUGUGACAAGUGUUCGAACAAGUGAUGUUGACACCGAUGACUUCCCGAUUAAGAUAGGACUGCAUCAGGGGUCAGCUUUGAGCCCUUAUCUUUUUGCAUUGGUGAUGGAUGAGGUCACAAGGGAUAUACAAGGAGAUAUCCCAUGGUGUAUGCCCUUUACUGAUGAUGUGGUGCUAGUUGACGAUAGUCGGACGGGGGUAAAUAGGAAGUUAGAGUUAUGGAGAUAAACCUUGGAAUCGAAAGGGUUUAGGCUUAGUAGAACUAAAAGCGAGUACAUGAUGUGCGAUUUCAGUACUACUAGGUGUGAGGAGGAGGAGGUUAGCCUUGAUGGCCAGGUGGUACCUCGGAAGAACACCUUUCGGUAUUUGGGGUCAAUGUUGCAGGAGGAUGGGGGUAUUGAUGAAGAUGUGAACCAUCGAAUCAAAGCCGGAUGGAUGAAGUGGCGCCAAGCUUCUGGCAUUCUCUAUGACAAGAGAGUGCCACAAAAGUUAAAAGGCAAGUUCUACAGGACGGCGGUUCGACCCGCAAUGUUGUAUGGCGUGGAGUGUUGGCCGACUAAAAGGCGACAUGUUCAACAGUUAGGUGUGGCGGAGAUGCGUAUGUUGAGAUGGAUGUGUGGCCACACGAGGAAGGAUCGAGUCCGGAAUGAUGAUAUACAAGAUAGAGUUGGGGUAGCACCAAUUGAGGAGAAGCUUGUCCAACAUCGUCUGAGAUGGUUUGGGCAUAUUCAGCACAGGCCUCCAGAAGCUCCAGUGCAUAGCGGACGGCUAAAGCGUGCGGAGAAUGUCAAGAGAGGGUGGGGUAGACCGAGUUUGACAUGGGAGGAGUCCGUUAAGAGAGACCUGAAGGAUUGGAGUAUCACCAAAGAGCUAGCUAUGGAUAGGGGUGCGUGGAAGCUUGCGUGGAAGCUUGCUAUCCAUGUGCCAGAGCCAUGAGUUGGUUGCGAGAUCUUAUGGGUUUCACCUCUAGCCUACCCCAACUUGUUUGGGACUAAAGGCUUUGUUGUUGUUAUUGUUGUUGUUGUUGUUGUUGUUGUUGUUGUUGUUGUUGUUGUUGUUUAUGUUGUUGUAGAUAGAUGGCACAUGUUGUUGUUCCGUUGAAUUUUAAUGUGUUCCUUGAGAAAGCAAAGUUGAAAGAUGAUGGUAGCAAUUACACGGACUGGGUCCGUAACUUGAGGAUUAUCCUCAUUGCUGCACAGAAGAAUUACGUCCUGGAAGCACCGCCAGGUGCCAAACCCGCUGCAAGAGCAACGCCAGAUGUUAUGAACGUCUGGCAGAACAAAGCUGGUGACUACUCGAUAGUUCAGUGUGCCAUGCUUUAUGGCUUAGAACCGGGACUUCAACAACGUUUUGAACGUCAUGGAGCAUGUGAGAUGUUCCAGGAGUUGAAGUUAAUAUUUCAAGCAAAUGCCCAGACUGAGAGAUAUGAAGUAUUCAAUAAGUUCUACAACUGCAAGAUGGAGGAGAAUAGUUCUGUCAGUGAACAUAUACUCAGAAUGUCUGGGUACCAUAACCACUUGACUCAACUGGGAGUUAAUCUUCCUGUUAAUGUGUCAUUAACAUAGUUCUUCAAUCACUGCCACCAAGCUACAAGAGCUUCAUGGUGAACUAUAAUAUGCAAGGGAUGGAUAAGACGAUUCCCGAGCUCUUCGCAAUGCUAAAAGCUGCGGAGGUAGAAAUCAAGAAGGAGCAUCAAGUGUUGAUGGUCAAUAAGACCAUCAGUUUCAAGAAAAACGGUAAAGGGAAGAAGAAAGGGAACUUUAAGAAGAACGACAAACAAGUUGCUGCUCAAGAGAAGAAACCCAAGUCUGGACCUAAGCUUGAGACUGAGUGCUUCUACUGCAAAGGGACUGGUCACUGGAAGCAGAACUGCCCCAAGUAUUUGGCAGAUAAGGAGGAUGGCAAGGUGAACAAAGGUAUAUGUGAUAUACAUGUUAUUGAUGUGUACCUUACUAAAGCUCGCAGUAGCACCUGGGUAUUUGAUACUGGUUCUGUUGCUAAUAUUUGCAACUCGAAACAUGGACUACAGAUUAAGCGAAGAUUGGCUAAGGACGAGGUGACGAUGCGCUUGGGAAAUGGUUCCAAAGUCGAUGUGAUCGCCGUCGGCACCCUACCUCUACAUCUACCUUCAGGAUUAGUUUUAGACCUGAAUAAUUGUUAUUUGGUGCAAGCGUUGAGCAUGAACAUUAUGUCUGGAUCUUGUUUGAUGCGAGACAGUUAUUCAUUUAAAUCAGAGAAUAAUGGUUGUUCUAUUUAUAUGAUUAAUAUCUUUUAUGGUCAUGCACCCUUGAAGAGUGGUCUAUUUUUAAUGUAUCUCGAUAGUAGUGAUACACAUAUUCAUAAUAUUGAAGCUAAAAGAUGCAGAGUUGAUAAUGAUAGUGCAACUUAUUUGUGGCACUGAUAUGUCUCCAACGUAUCUAUAAUUUUUGAUUAUUCCAUGCUAUUAUAUUAUCAACUUUGGAUGUUUAUGGGCUUUAUUAUACACUUUUAUAUUAUUUUUGGGACUAACCUAUUAACCCAGAGCCCAGUGCCAAUUCCUGUUUUUCCCCUUGUUUCAGUGUUUCACGGAAAAGGAAAAUCAAACGGAGUCCAAUUGACCUGAAACUUCACGGAACUUAUUUUUGGAUCAGAAGAAGCCCAGAAGACUUGAAGUGCACGUUAGGGGAUCAACGAGGAGGCCACGAGGUAGGGGGGCGCGCCCACCCCCCUGGGCACGCCCUCCACCCUCGUGCCCCCCCUGACGCACUUCUUCCUCCUAUAUAUCUCCAUAUACCCUAAAACGAUCGGGGAGCACAAUAGAUCGGGAGUUCCGCCGCCAGAAGCCUCCAUAGCCACCGAAAGCCAAUCUAGACCCGUUCCGGCACCCUGCCGGAGGGGGAAUCCCUCUCCGGCGGCCAUCUUCAUCAUCCCGGUGCUCUCCAUGACGAGGAGGGAGUAGUUCUCCCUCGGGGCUGAGGGUAUGUACCAGUAGCUAUGCGUUUGAUCUCUCUCUCUCUCUCGUGUUCUUGAGGUGAUACGAUCUUGAUGUAUCGCGAGCUUUGCUAUUAUAGUUGGAUCUUAUGAUGUUUUCUUCCCCCUCUACUCUCUUGUAAUGGUUUGAGUUUACUCUUUGAAAUUAUCUUAUCGGAUUGAGUCUUUAAAGAUUUGAGAACACUUGAUGUAUGUCUUGCCGUGCGUAUCUGUGGUGACAAUGGGAUACCACGUGAUUCACUUGAUGUAUGUUUGAUACGUCCAUUUUGCAUCAUGCUUUUAUAUCGAUAUUUAUUGCAUUAUGGGCUGUUAUUUCACAUUAUGUCACAAUACUUAUGGCUAUUCUCUCUUAUUUUACAAGGUUUACAUAAGGAGGGAGAAUCCCGGCAGGUGGAAUUCUGGGCUGGAAAAGGAGCAAAUAUUAGAGACCUAUUCUGCACAACUCCAAAAGUCCUGAAACUCCACGGAACACCUUAUAAUAAAUAAUGAAGAAUCCUCGCCAAAGAUGAAGACCAGGGGGCCCACACCCUUCUCACGAGGGUGGGGGUGCCCCUGCCUCGUGGGCCCUCUGGUGGCUCUCCGAUGACCAUCUUCUCCUAUAUGAAGUCUUUCGUCGAGAAAAAAAAAGAAGCAACCUUUCGGGAGAAACUCCGCCGCCAUGAGGCGGAAGCUUGGCGAGUCCAAUCUAGAGCUCCGGCCGAGCUGUUCUGUCGGGGAAACUUCCCUCCCGGAGGGGGAAUCAUCGCCAUCGUCAUCACCAACGCUCCUCUCAUCUGGAGAGGGCAAUCUCCAUCAACAUCUUCAUCAGCACCAUCUCAUCUCAAAACCCUAGUUCAUCUCUUGUAUCCGAUUCUUGUCUUCAAGUCCAGGAUUGGUGCUAGUAGGUUGCUAGUAGUGUUAAUUACUCCUUGUAGUUGAUGCUAGUUGGUUUAAUUGGUGGAAGAUCAUAUCUUCAGAUUCUUUAUGCAUAUUAAUACCCCUCUGAUUAUGAACAUGAAUAUGCUUUGUGAGUAGUUACGUUUGUUCCUGAGGACAAGGGAGAAGUCUUGCUAUUAGUAGUCAUGUGAAUUUGGUAUUCAUUCGAUAUUUUGAUGAGAUGUAUGUUGUCUAGCCUCUAGUGGUGUUAUGUGAACGUUGACUACAUAAUACUUCACCAUUAUUUGGGCCUAGAGGAAGGCAUUCGGAAGUAAUAAGUAGAUGAUGGGUUGCUAGAGUGACAGAAGCUUAAACCCUAGUUUAUGCGUUGCUUCGUAAGGGGCUGAUUUGGAUCCAUAUGUUUCAUGCUAUGGUUAGGUUUACCUUAAUACUUUUGUUGUAGUUGUGGAUGCUUGCAAUAGAGGUUAAUCAUAAGUGGGAUGCUUGUUCAAGUAAGAACAUCACCCAAGCACCGGUCCACCCACAUAUCAAAUUAUCCAAGUACCGAACGUGAAUCAUAUGAACGUGAUGAAAACUAGCUUGACGAUAUUCCCAUGUGUCCUCGGGAGCGCUUUUCCUUAUAUAAGAGUUUGUCCAUGCUUGUCCUUUGCUACAAAAAGGAUUGGGCCACCUUGCUGCACUUUAUUUACUUUUGUUACUUGUUGCUCGUUACAAAUUAUCUCAUUACAAACUAUCUGUUACCACUUAUUUCAGUACUUGGAGAGAAUACCUUGCUGAAAACCGUUUAUCAUUUCCUUCUGCUCCUCGUUGGGUUCGACACUCUUACUUAUCGAAAGGACUAUGAUAGAUCCCCUAUACUUGUGGGUCAUCAAGACUCUUUUCUGGUGCCGUUGCCGGGGAGUGAAGUGCCUUUGGUAGGGAAAAAUUUAUAUAGUGUGCUGAAAUUUACUGUCACUUGUUACUAUGGAAAGUAAUCCUCUGAGGGGCUUGUUCGGGGUAUCUUCACCCCGACCAGUAGAGCACAUAGUUUCUCCUCAACCUACUGAACCUAUUGAAAAUGAAAUUCCUUAUGAGUAUCCUUCGAGUAUAAUAGAAAAACUGCUAGCUAAUCCUUUUACAGGAGAUGGAACAAAGCAUCCUCAUGAACACCUAAUAUAUGUGGAUGAAGUUUGUGGAUUAUUUAAGCUUGUAGGUAUUUCCGAUGAUGUUGCUAAGAAGAAGGUAUUCCCUUUAUCUUUGAAGGGAGACACAUUGACAUGGUAUAGGCUAUGUGAUGAUAUGGGAUCAUGGAACUAUAGAAGGUUGGAAUUGGAAUUUCAUCAAAAGUAUUACCCUAUGCAUCUUGUUCAUCGUGAUCGCAAUUAUAUAUAUAAUUUUUGGCCUCGUGAAGGAGAAAGCAUCGCUCAAGCUUGGGGGAGGCUUAAAUCAAUGUUAUAUUCAUGCCCCAAUCAUGAUCUUCCAAGAGAAACAAUUCUUCAAAAAAUUUAUGCUCGGCUUUCUGAUAACAAUCGCACCAUGCUUGAUACUUCUUGUGAUGUCUCUUUUAUGAUGAAGACUAUUGGAUUUAGAUGGGAUUAAUUGGAUAGAAUUAAACGCAACUCUGAAGAUUGGGACCUCGACAAUGGUAAGGAGUCAGGUAUGACACCUAAGUUUGAUUGUGUUAAAUCUUUCAUGGAUACCGAUGUUUUCCGUAAGUUUAGCACUAAAUAUGGACUUGAUUCUGAGAUAGUAGCUUGUUUCUGUGAAUCUUUUGCUACUUAUGUUGAUCUCCCUAAGGAGAAGUGGUUUAAAUAUCAUCCUCCCAUAGAAGUAAAAGUAGUUGCACCUAUUAAAGUUGAAGAAAAGAAUGUCACUUAUAAUGAUCCUAUUGUUCCUACUUAUGUUGAGAAACCACCUUUCCCUGUUAGGAUAAAGGAUCAUGCUAAAGCUUCAACUGUAGUUCGUAAAAGUAAUAUUAAAACAUAUACACCUCCUGAGCAAGUUAAAGUUGAACCUAAUAUUGCUAUUGUUAAAGAGCUCUUGUCUGAUAAUAUUGAUGGGCAUGUUAUUCAGUUAUGCGGUGAAACUGCUAGAAUUGCUAAACCUUGUGCUAAAGAUAAACAUAGACCUGUGGUAGGUGUGCCUGUUAUUUCUGUUAAAAUAGGAGAUCAUUGUUAUCAUGGCUUAUGUGAUAUGGGUGCUAGUGCUAGUGUUAUACCUUAUGACUUGUAUAAAGAAAUCAAGCAUGAAAUUGCACCUGUUGAGUUAGAAGAUAUUGAUGUCACAAUUAAACUUGCUAAUAGAGAUACUAUUUCAGCAAUGGGAAUUGUUAGAGAUGUUGAAGUCUUGUGCGGGAAAACUAAAUAUCCUGCUGAUUUUCUUGUUCUUAGUUCUUCACAAGAUAACUUUUGUCCCGUUAUAUUUGGUAGACCCUUCUUGAAUACAGUUAAUGCUAGGAUAGACUGCGAAUAGAAUGUUGUUACUAUUGGCUUGGAUGAUAUGACUCAUGAGUUUAAUUUCUCUAAAUUUAGUAAACAACACCGUGAAGAAGAAUUGCCUAGUAAGGAUGAAAUUAUUGGUCUUGCUUCUAUUGUCGUACCUCCUAAUGAUCCUUUAGAACAAUAUUUGCUAGACCAUGAGAAUGAUAUGUUUAUGAAUGAAAGAAGGGAAAUAGAUGAAGUAUUCUUUAAACAAGAACCUAUGCUAAAACACAAUUUGCCUGUUGAAAUCCUAGGGGAUCCUCCUCCACCUAAGGGUGAUCCCAUGUUUGAGCUUAAACCGUUGCCUGAUAAUCUUAAAUAUGCUUAUCUUGAUGAAAAGAAGAUAUAUCCUGUUAUUAUUAGUGCUAACCUUUCAGAGCAUGAAGAAGAAAGAUUAUUGAAAACUCUGAAGAAGCACCGUGCUGCUAUUGGAUAUACUCUUGAUGAUCUUAAGGGCAUUAGUCCCACUCUAUUUCAACAUAAAAUAAAUUUGGAAGCAGAUGCCAAACUAGUUCGUGAUCCUCAACGAUGUCUGAAUCCUAAAAUGAAAGAAGUGGUAAGAAAAGAAAUACUAAAGCUUCUAGAGGCAGGUAUAAUUUAUCCCGUUGCUGAUAGUCAGUGGGUAAGUCAUGUUCAUUGUGUCCCUAAGAAGGGAGGUAUUACUGUUGUUCCUAAUGAUAAAGAUGAAUUGAUUCCAUAAAGAAUUAUUACCGGUUAUAGGAUGGUAAUUGAUUUCCGCAAAUUAAAUAAGGCUACUAAGAAAGAUCAUCACCCCUUAUCUUUUAUCGAUCAAAUGCUAGAAAGAUUAUGCAAACAUACACAUUACUGCUUUCUAGAUGGUUAUUCUGGUUUCUCUCAAAUACCUGUGUCGGCUAAAGAUCAAUCAAAGACUACUUUUACAUGCCCUUUUGGUACUUUUGCUUAUAGACGUAUGCCUUUUGGUUUAUGUAAUGCAUCUGCUACCUUUCAAAGAUGCACGAUGGCUAUAUUCUCUGACUUUUGUGAAAAGAUUUGUGAGGUUUUCAUGGAUGACUUUUUCGUCUAUGGGUCUUCUUUUGAUGAUUGCUUGAGCAAUCUUGAUCGAGUUUUGCAGAGAUGUGAAGAAACUAAUCUUGUCUUGAAUUGGGAAAAGUGCCACUUUAUGGUUAACGAAGGUAUUGUCUUGGGGCAUAAAGUUUCUGAAAAAGGUAAUGAAGUUGAUAAAGCCAAGGUUGAUGCUAUUGAAAAGAUGCCAUGUCCCAAGGACAUCAAAGGUAUAAGAAGUUUCCUUGGUCACGCCGGAUUUUAUAGGAGGUUCAUCAAGGACUUCUCAAAAAAAUUUCAGCCUCUGACUAAUUUAUUACAAAAAGAUAUACCAUUUGUCUUUGAUGAUGAUUGUGUAGAAGCAUUUGAAAUACUUAAGAAAGCAUUAGUCUCUGCACCUAUUGUUCGGCCACCUGAUUGGAAUUUACCCUUUGAAAUUAUGUGUGAUGCUAGUGAUUAUGCUGUAGGUGCUGUUUUAGGGCAAAGAGUUGAUAAGAAACUAAAUGGUAUCCAUUAUGCUAGUAAACUCUAGACAAUGCUCAAAGAAAUUAUGCUACCACUGAAAAAGAACUUUUAGCAGUUGUAUUUGCUUGUGAUAAGUUCAGACCUUAUAUUGUUGAUUCUAAAGUAACUAUCCACACUGAUCAUGAUGCUAUUAAAUAUCUUAUGGAAAAGAAAGAUGCUAAACCUAGACUUAUCAGAUGGGUUCUCUUGCUACAAGAAUUUGAUUUGCAUAUUGUUGAUAGAAAAGGAGCUGAAAACCCCGUUGCAGACAACUUAUCUAGGUUAGAGGAUGUUCUUGAUGACCCACUAACUAUUGAUGAUAGUUUUCCUGAUGAACAAUUAAAUGUCAUAAGUACUUCUCGUAGUACCCCUUGGUAUGCUGAUUAUGCUAAUUACAUAGUUGCUAAAUUUAUACCACCUAGCUUCACAUACCAACAAAAGAAAAAGUUCUUCUAUGAUUUGAUACAUUACUUUUGGGAUGACCCACAUCUUUAUAAAGAAGGAGUAGAUGGUAUUAUUAGACGUUGUGUACCUGAGCAUGAACAUGAACAGAUCCUACGUAAGUGCCACUCCGAAACUUAUGGAGGACACCACACGGGAGAUAGAACUGCACAUAAGGUAUUGCAAUCCGGUUUUUAUUAACCUACUCUCUUCAAGGAUGCCCGUAAGUUUGUCCUAUCUUGUGAUGAAUGUCAAAUAAUUGGUAAUAUUAGUAGACGUCAAGAAAUGCCUAUGAAUUAUUCACUUGUUAUUGAACCGUUUGAUGUUUGGGGCUUUGAUUAUAUGGGACCUUUUCCUGCCUCUAAUGGAUAUACACAUAUUUUAGUUGCUAUUGAUUAUGUUACUAAGUGGGUAGAAGCUAUUCCAACUAGUCAUGCUGAUCAUAACACUUCUAUUAAAAUGCUUAAAGAAGUUAUUUUUUCCGAGGUUUGGAGUCCCUAGAUAUUUAAUGACUGAUGGUGGUUCACAUUUUAUUCAUGGUGCUUUCCGUAAAAUGCUUGCUAAAUAUGACGUCAAUCAUAGAAUUGCAUCUCCGUAUCACCCACAGUCUAGUGGUCAAGUAGAAUUGAGUAAUAGAGAACUCAAAUUAAUUUUGCAAACGAUUGUCAAUAGGUCUAGAAAGAAUUGGUCCAAGAAACUUGAUGGUGCAUUAUGGGCCUAUAGAACUGCAUAUAAAAAUCCUAUGGGUAUGUCUCCGUAUAAAAUGGUAUAUGGAAAAGCAUGUCACUUACCUCUCGAACUAGAACAUAAGGCAUAUUGGGCUAUUAAAGAGCUCAACUAUGAUUUCAAACUUGCUGGUGAAAAGAGGUUAUUUGAUAUUAGCUCACUUGAUGAAUGGAGAACCCAAGCUUAUGAAAAUGCCAAGUUGUUUAAAGAAAAGGUUAAAAGAUGGCAUGACAAAAGGAUACAAAAGCGUGAGUUUAAUGUAGGUGAUUAUGUAUUGCUAUACAACUCUCGUUUAAGAUUUUUUGCAGGGAAACUUCUCUCUAAAUGGGAAGGCCCCUAUGUUAUCGAGGAGGUCUAUCAUUCUGGUGCCAUAAAAAUCAACAACUUCGAAGGCACAAAUCCGAAGAUGGUAAACGGUCAAAGAAUCAAACAUUAUAUCUCAGGUAAUCCCAUAAAUGUUGAAACCAAUAUUAUUGAAACCGUAACCCCGGAGGAAUACAUAAGGGACACUUUCCAGAACGUUUCAGACUCCGAAAAGGAAUAGGUAUGUGGUACGGUAAGUACACCGACUCCAAAACAAUUUUUAAGGCAAUAUUUCUCUGUUUUGGAAUAUUUAGAAAAAUAGAAAAUUAAGUAGCAGUCCGGGAAGGACACGAGGGCCUCACGAGGGUGGAGGGCGCGCCCCCUACCUCGUGAGCUCCUCGUGUGCCUUCCGGACUCCGUUUUCUUGCACGAUACGUAUUUUGGUCGGUAAAAAUUAACUAUAUAAUAUUCCGGGGUUUUUGACUCCCGUAUCACGCAAAAAUCUCUUCUCUUUGUUUCGAGCUAUUUUCUGUUAGGGUUUUCAAGACCAGGCACUAUGUCGUCUCCCUCCUCCUCCAACCAUGAGGGCAAUGAUGCUUGGCUAAUGAAGAUAGAGCUAAAGAGAGAAGAACCUAUGGAUAUCAAUAAGGAUGAAGGGAUCAAGAAGGCCGUGGAGGACCAAGUCCCAGCAACAGAAGACACCCUUCAACUGGAUCAUAAUCUUCUUAUCCCUACAAAAAUCGAAGCUUUCAAGAUGAUUGAGUUGGCUCGUAUACAAAAUAAGUAUCUCACACGUGAAAAUAUUUUGUUGAAGGAGCAUAUCCUCGCACUCAAGGGCAUUAUCCGCAAGUUAGAAGACCUCCUACGCUCGAUGUGCGACUAUCCAUCAUCAACAAUACCUCCACCUUAUUCACCAACCAAGGAGAUAUAAUAACAUGGGUAUGGGCACUCCCCUUGGCAACCGCCAAGCUUGGGGGAGGUGCCCCGGUAUCGUAUCACCCUCACCUUUAUCUUUACCGUUUUCCUUAGUUCGAUCCUGUUGGAAAUAUGCCCUAGAGGCAAUAAUAAAUUGGUUAUUUCCUUGUUCAUGAUAAUCGUUUAUUAUCCAUGCUAUUAUUGUAUGGAUAGGAAACUCAGAUACAUGUGUGGAUACAUAGACAACACCAUGUCCCUAGUAAGCCUCUAGUUGACUAGCUCGUUGAUCAAUUGAUGGUUACGGUUUCCUGACCAUGGACAUUGGAUGUCGUUGAUAACGGGAUCACAUCAUUAGGAGAAUCAUGUGAUGGACAAGACCCAAUCCUAAGCCUAGAACAAAGAUCGUGUAGUUCGUAUGCUAAAGCUUUUCUAAUGUCAAGUAUCAUUUCCUUAGACCAUGAGAUUGUGCAACUCCCGGAUACCGUAGGAAUGCUUUGGGUGUGCCAAACGUCACAACGUAACUGGGUGGCUAUAAAGGUACACUACGGGUAUCUCUGAAAGUGUCUGUUGGGUUGGCACGAAUCGAGACUGGGAUUUGUCACUCCGUGUGACGGAGAGGUAUCUCUGGGCCCACUCGGUAGGACAUCAUCAUAUGCGCAAUUUGACCAAGGAGUUGAUCACGGGAUGAUGUGUUACGGAACGAGUAAAGAGACUUGCCAGUAACGAGAUUGAACAAGGUAUCGGAUACCGACGAUCGAAUCUCGGGCAAGUACAAUACCGCUAGACAAAGGGAAUUGAAUACGGGAUUGGUUGAAUCCUCGACAUCAUGGUUCAUCCGAUGAGAUCAUCGUGGAACAUGUGGGAGCCAACAUGGGUAUCCAGAUCCCGCUGUUGGUUAUUGGCCGGAGAGGUGUCUCGGUCAUGUCUGCAUGGUUCCCGAACCCGUAGGGUCUACACACUUAAGGUUCGAUGACGCUAGGGUUAUAGGGAAUAGAUAUACGUGGUUACCGAAUGUUGUUCAGAGUCCCGAAUGAGAUCUCGGACAUCACUAGGAGUUCCGGAAUGGUCCAGAGGUAAAGAUUUAUAUAUGGGAAGUCCUGUUUUGGUCACCGGAAAAGUUUCAGGUGCUAUCGGUAACGUACCGGGACCACCGGGAGGGUCCCGGGGGUCCACCAGGUGGGGCUACCUGCCCCAGAGGGCUGCGUGGGCCAAGUGUGAGAGGGGACCAGCCCCUGGUUGGCUGGUGCGCCCCCCCACCAGGGCCCAAGGCGAAGAGAGAAGAAAAAAAGGGGAAACCCUAGGCUCAGAUGGGCCUAAGGCCCACCUAGUGGUGCGCCCCCCUCUCUCCCCCCUUGGCCGCCCCCCCCCCCUAGAUGGGAUCUAGGGGUGGAAACCUAGGUGGGGGCGCAGCCCCUCCCUUUCCCCUAUAUAUAGUGGGGUUUUGGGCUGCCAUACACACGAGAACAUCUCCUUCUUGGCGCAGCCCUACCCCUCUCCCUCCUCGUCUCUUGCGGUGCUUGGCGAAGCCCUGCUGGAGUACCACGCUCCUCCACCACCACCACCACGCCAUCGUGCUGCUGCUGGACGGAGUCUUCCCCAACCUCUCCCUCUCUCCUUACUGGAUCAAGGCAUGGGAGACGUCACCGGGCUGCAUGUGUGUUGAACGCGGAGGUGCCGUCCGUUCGGCACUAGGAUCAUCGGUGAUUUGGAUCACGGCGAGUACGACUCCAUCAACCCCGUUCACUUGAAUGCUUCCGCUUAGUGAUCUACAAGGGUAUGUAGAUGCACUCUCCUUCCCCUCGUUGCUAGAUUACUCCAUAGAUUGAUCUUGGUGAUGUGUAGAAAAUUUUGAAUUUCUGCUACGUCACAACAGAUCCUAUUAGUAGUAUUUUUAUCUAGUAGUAUAAAGUUUAUGGCAUGAUCUAGUUGUGAGUUUUGCUUUAUUAUCCUUCUAUGUAAUCGAGUCCGUGAGCUAUAUAAUAAAGAUUAGUGUUGAGUCAAGGGCUUGAUUAUUUUGCCAUGAUCCUAAGUGAAUAAAAGAAAAGAGAAAGUAAUAAAAAGGAAACAAAGAGAUCAUAUGGAUCUCAUGGAGAGUAAUGAGCUCACAUAGAAAAAGUAUGAUGAAUAAAAGUUGUUGAGAGUUGACAAGCAUAGUUUUGGUCAUGGUUGCAAUCAAUAGGAAGUAAUAAAGAAAGAGAGGUCCUCACAUAUAGAUAUACUAUCUUGGACAUCUUUUAUGAUUGUGAGCACUCAUUAAAAUAUGACAUGCUAAAGAGUUGACAUUGGAUAAGGAAGACAACGUAAUGGGUUAUGUUUUCUUACAUCUGUGAUAAAUUAUAUUGUCUUGGAUCUUCCAACAUGUUGAGCUUGCUUUUCCCACUCAUGCUAGCCAAAUUCAUUGCACCAAGUAGAGAUACUACUUGUGCUUCCAAAUACCCUUAAACCAGUUUUGCCAUGAGAGUCCACCAUAUCUACCUAUGGAUUGAAUAAGAUCCUUCAAGUAAGUUGUCAUCGGUGCAAAGCAAUAAAAAUUGCUCUCUAAAUAUGUAUGAUUGAUUGGUGUGGGAGAAAUAAGCUUUAUACGAUCUUGUGAUGUGGAAGUAAUAAGAGUGACGGACUGCAUAAUAAAGGUUCAUAUCACAAGGGGCAAUAUAAAGUGACGUUCUUUCGCAUUAAGAUUUUGUGCAUCCAACCAUAAAAGCGCAUGGCAACCUCUGCUUCCCUCUGCGAAGGGCCUAUCUUUUAUCAUUACCUUCUACCUUAUGCAAGAGUCAUGGUGAUGCUCACCCUUCCUUUUUACACUUUAUCCUUUGGCAAGCACAGUAUGUUGGAAAGAUCCUAGUAUAUAUGGCUAAUUAGAUGUGAGUUUUCAUGAACUAUUACUGUUGACAUUACCCUUGAGGUAAAACGUUGGGAGGCAAGACUAUAAGCCCCUAUCUUUCUCUGUGUCCGAUUAAAACUCCAUACCCAUAAGUAUUGCGCGAGUGUCAGCAAUUGUGAAAGAUUAUAUGAUAGUUGAGUAUGUGGACUUGCUGAAAAGCUCUUAUACAUUGACUAUUUCCUAUGUUAUGAUAAACUGCAAUUGCUUCAAUGACCGAGAUUGUAGUUUGUUAGUUUUCAAUGAAGUUUACGAUUCAUACUUGAUAUUGUGAUUGAAUUACUCUAGCAUUAGAGAUCAUAUGACAAAAAUUAUAUAAGUUGCUGUUAUAAGAAUGAUCAUGAUGCCCUCAUGUCCGUAUUUUAUUUUUAUCGACACCUUCAUCUCUAAACAUGUGGACAUAUUUUUCGAUUUCGACUUUUCUCUUGAGGACAAGCGAGGUCUAAGCUUGGGGGAGUUGAUACGUCCAUUUUGCAUCAUGCUUUUAUAUCGAUAUUUAUUGCAUUAUGGGCUGUUAUUUCACAUUAUGUCACAACACUUAUGGCUUUUCUCUCUUAUUUUACAAGGUUUACAUAAGGAGGGAGAAUACCGGCAACUGGAAUUCUGGGCUGGAAAAUGAGCAAAUAUUAGAGACCUAUUCUGCACAACUCCAAAAGUCCUGAAACUCCACGGAACACCUUAUAAUAAAUAAUGAAAAAUCCUCGCCAAAGAUGAAGACCAUGGGGCCCACACCCUUCUCACGAGGGUGGGGGCGCCCCCCCCUAAGGCGCGCCCCCCUGCCUCGUGGGCCCCCUGGUGGCUCUCCGAUGACCAUCUUCUCCUAUAUGAAGUCUUUCGUCGAGAAAAAAAAUAAGAAGCAACCUUUCGGGACGAAACUCCGUCGCCACGAGGCGGAACCUUGGCGGAUCCAAUCUAGAGCUCUGGCAGAGUUGUUCUGCCGGGGAAACUUCCCUCCCAGAGGGGGAAUCAUCGCCAUCGUCAUCACCAACGCUCCUCUCAUCCGGAGAGGGCAAUCUCCAUCAACAUCUUCAUCAGCACCAUCUCAUCUCAAAACCCUAGUUCAUCUCUUGUAUCCAAUUCUUGUCUUCAAGUCCGGGAUUGGUGCUAGUAGGUUGCUAGUAGUGUUAAUUACUCCUUGUAGUUGAUGCUAGUUGGUUUAAUUGGUGGAAGAUCAUAUGUUCAGAUCCUUUAUGCAUAUUAAUACCACUCUGAUUAUGAACAUGAAUAUGCUUUGUGAGUAGUUAUGUUUGUUCCUGAGGACAAGGGAGAAGUCUUGCUAUUAGUACUCAUGUGAAUUUGGUAUUCGUUCGAUAUUUUGAUGAGAUGUAUGUUGUCUAGCCUCUAGUGGUGUUAUGUGAACAUCGACUACAUAACACUUCACCAUUAUUUGGGCCUAUAGGAAGGCAUUGGGAAGUAAUAAGUAGAUGAUGGGUUGCUAGAGUGACAGAAGCUUAAACCCUAGUUUAUGCGUUGCUUCAUAAGGGGCUGAUUUGGAUCCACAUGUUUCAUGCUAUGGUUAGGUUUACCUUAAUACUUUUGUUGUAGUUGCGGGUGCUUGCAAUAGAGGUUAAUCAUAAGUGGGAUGCUUGUUCAAGUAAGAACAGCACCCAAGCACCGGUCCACCCACAUAUCAAAUUAUCAAAGUACCGAACGCGAAUCAUAUGAAUGUGAUGAAAACUAGCUUGACGAUAUUCCCAUGUGUCCUCGGGAGCACUUUUCCUUAUAUAAACAUGCUUGUACUUUGCUACAAAAAGGAUUGGGCCACAUUGCUGCACUUUAUUUACUUUGUUACUUGUUGCUCGUUACAAAUUAUCUCAUUACAAAACUAUCUGUUACCACUUAUUUCAGUACUUGCAGAGAAUACCUUGCUGAAAACCGUUUGUCAUUUCCUUCUACACCUCGUUGGGUUCAACACUCUUACUUAUCGAAAGGACUACGAUAGAUCCCCUAUACUUGUGGGUCAUCAAUGUUUUGGUGAUCAACUUGCGGGUUCCGCCCAUGAACCUAUGCAUAGGGGUUGGCACACGUUUUCGUCGUGAUUCUCCGGUAGAAACUUUGGGGCACUCUUUGAGGUUCUAUGUGUUGGUUGAAUAGAUGAAUCUGAGAUUUUGUGAUGCAUAUCGUAUAAUCAUAACCACGGAUACUUGAGGUGACAUUGGAGUAUCUAGGUGACAUUAGGGUUUUGAUUGAUUUGUGUCUUAAGGUGUUAUUCUAGUACGACCUCUAGGGCUGUUUGUGACACUUAUAGGAAUAGCCCAACGAAUUGAUUGGAAAGAAUAACUUUGAGGUGGUUUCGUACCCUACCAUAAUCUCUUUAUUUGUUCUCCGCUAUUAGUGACUUUGGAGUGGCUCUUUGUUGCAUGUUGAGGGAUAGUUAUGUGAUCGAAUUAUGUUAUUAUUGUUGAGAGGACUUGCACUAGUGAAAGUAUGAACCCUAGACCUUGUUUCCUAUCAUUGGAAUACCAUUUAUGCUCACUUUUAUCAUUAGUUACCUUGCUAUUUUUAUAUUUUCAGAUUACAAAAAUCAUUAUCUACUAUCCAUAUACCACUUGUAUCACCAUCUCUUCGCCGAACUAGUGCACCUAUACAAUUUACCAUUGUAUUGGGUGUGUUUGGGACACAAGAGACUCUUUGUUAUUUGGUUGCAGGGUUGCUUGAGAGAGACCAUCUUCAUCCUACGCCUCCUACGGAUUGAUAAACCUUAGGUCAUCCACUUGAGGGAAAUUUGCUACUGUCCUACAAACCUCUGCACUUGGAGGCCCAACAACAUCUACAAGAAGAAGGUUGUGUAGUAGACAUCAAGCUCUUUUCUGGCGCCGUUGCCGGGGAGGUGAGUGCUUGAAGGUAUAUCUUUAGAUCUUGCAAUCGAGUCUUUUAGUUCCUUGUUUUAUCACUAGUUUAGUUUAUAAAAAUAAAAAAUAAAAAAUGGAAUUAAGUUUGCCUCAUACGCUUUAUCUUUUUAAUACCUAUCGUGAGAAUAAGGAUUACGAUAAUUGUGCUCAAGUGCUAGAAGAAGAAUGCAUUAGAAUGUUUGGCACUAAAUAUUUGAAUGAUGAGCAUGAUUGCGAUGAAUUCCUUGAAUAUCCAUGAUACUAAUGAUAUGCAAAGCCACAAGCUUGGGGAAGCUAUGCUUGAUGAGUAUGAUAUUUUUUGUCCCCCAAGUUUUGAUGAGUGAUACGUCUCCAACGUAUCUACUUUUCUAAACACUUUUGCCCUUGUUUUGGACUCUAAAUUGCAUGAUUUGAAUGGAACUAACCCGGACUAACGCUGUUUUUAGCAGAAUUACCAUGGUGUUAUUUAUGUGCAGGAGCAAACGUUCUCGGAAUGACCUGAAACUUUAUGGAGACACUUUUCAGAAAAUAAGAAAAAUACCUGCCAAAGAUGAAGGCCAGGGGGGUCACCACCUUGCCACGAGGGUGGGGGGCACGCCCCCCUACCUCGUGGGCCCCCUGUUGCCUCUCCGACUCCAACUCCACCUCCAUAUAUUGAGUUUCGGGGAUAAAAAAAUUAGAGAGAAGAAAUCAUCGUGUUUUACGAUACGGAGCCGCCGCCAAGCCCUAAAACCUCUCGGGAGGGCUGGUCUGGAGUCCGUUCGGGGCUCCGGAAAGGGGAAUCCGUCGCCAUAGUCAUCACCAACCAUCCUCUAUCACCAAUUUCAUGAUGCUCACCGCCGUGCGUGAGUAAUUACAUCGUAGGCUUGCUGGACGGUGAUGGGUUGGAUGGGAUCUAUCAUGUAAUCGAGUUAGUUUUGUUAGGGUUUGAUCCCUAGUGUCCACUAUGUUCUGAGAUUUAUGUUGCUAUGACUUUGCUAUGCUUAAUGCUUGUCACUAGGGCCCGAGUGCCAUGAUUUCAGAUCUGAACCUAUUAUGUUUUCAUCAAUAUAUGAGUGUUCUUGAUCCUAUCUUGCAAGUCUAUAGUCACCUAUUAUGUGUUAUGAUCAGUUAACCCCGAAGUGACAAUAAUCGGGAUACUUACCGGUGAUGACCGUAGUUUGAGGAGUUCAUGUAUUCACUAUGUGUUAAUGCUUUGUUCCGGUUCUCUAUUAAAAGGAGGCCUUAAUAUCCCUUGGUUUCCGUAAGGACCCCGCUGCCACGGGAGGGUAGGACAAAAGAUGCCAUGCAAGUUCUUUUCCAUAAGCACGUAUGACUAUAUUCAGAAUACAUACCUACAUUAUAUCAAUGAACUAGAGCUAGCUCUGUGUCACCCUAGGUUAUGACUGUUACAUGAUGAACCGCAUCCGGCAUAAUUCUCCAUCACCGAUCCAUUGCCUACGAGCUUUCCACAUAUUGUUCUUCGCUUAUUUACUUUCCCGUUGCUAUUGCUAUCAUCACUAUAAAAUACCAAAAACAUUACUUUUACUAUUGUUACUUUUUGCUACAGUUAUCACCACUAUCAUAUUACUUUGCUACCUUUGCUGCAGAUAUUAAGUUUCCAGGUGUGGUUGAAUUGACAACUCAGCUGCUAAUACCCGAGAAUAUUCUUUGGCUCCCCUUGUGUCGAAUCAAUAAAUUUGGGUUGAAUACUCUACCCUCGAAAACUGUUGCGAUCCCCUAUACUUGUGGGUUAUCAAUGAGUAAAUUUAUUAUGAUGAUAGCAUGCCUCCUAUUUAUGAUGAUUAUAUUGAUGAAAGUGGAUUUGGAGAGGUCAUGACUUUAUUUUGUGAUGAAUCCAUUAUUCCGGAAGAGGUUCCAAUUGAUUAUGAGAACAAAGUUGCUAUCUAUGAUGAUUAUUGUGAUGACUUGUAUGCUAUAAAGAAUAAUGAUAUCCAUAAAACUUGUCAUCAUGAUUUUAGUUUUCAAUUGGAUUAUGCCUCACACGAUAAUUAUUUUGUUGAGUUUGCUCCCACUACUAUUCAUAAGAAGAAUUUUGCUUAUGUGGAGAGUAAUAAAAUUUCUAUGCUUGUAGAUCAUGAAAAGAAUGCUUUAUGUGAUGGUUAUAUUGUUGAAUUCAUUUAUGAUGCUACUGAAAAUUAUUAUGAGGGAGGAAUAUAUGCUUGUAGGAAUUGUAAUAAUAUCAAGUUUCCUCUCUAUGUACUUAAAGUUUUGAAGUUAUGCUUGUUUCACCUUCCUAUGCAAGUUGAUUCUUGUUCCCACAAGUUGUUUGCUCACAAAAUCCUUAUGCAUAGGAAGUGGGUUAGACUUAAAUGUGCUAGUCAUAUUCUUCAUGAUGCUAUCUUAUGUUUCAAUUCUUAUAUUUUAUGUGAGCAUCAUUGAAAUCAUCAUGCCUAGCUAGGGGCGUUAAACGAUAGCGCUUGUUGGGAGGCAACCCAAUUUCAUUCCAGUUCUUUACUUUUUGCUCCUGUUUAGUAAUAAAUAAUUCAUCUAGACUCUGUUUAGAUGUGGUUUUAUGUUUUAAUUAGUGUUUGUGCCAAGUAGAACCGUUGGGAAGACUUGGGUGAAGUCUUUGCGAUCAUGCUGUAAAAAACCGAAACUUUAGCGCUCACGAGAAUUGCUCCCAUUUUUAUUUGGAGAGUGCUAUUUAGUUAAUUAUUUUUGCAGAUGAUUAAUAGAUAAAUUCCUCACCUCCAGAAAUUUAUUUGAGAAUUUUAUGAGUUCCAGAAGUAUACGUUUGAUCCAGAUUACUACAGACUGUUCUGUUUUUGACAGAUUCUGUUUUCAUUGUGUUGUUUGCUUAUUUUGAUGAAUCUAUGAGUAGUAUCGGAGGGUAUGAACCAUAGAGAAGUUGGAAUACAGUAGAUAUUACACCAAUAUGAAUUUAGAAUGAGUCCAUUACAGUACCUUAUGAUGGUGAUUUUCUUUCUUAUACUAACGGAGCUUACGAGUUUUCUGUUAAGUUUUGUGUUGUGAAGUUUUCAAGUUUUGGGUAAAGAUUUGAUGGACUAUGGAAUAAGAAGUGGCAAGAGCCUAAGCUUGGGGAUGCCCAGGAAGGCAUCUCCUCUUUCGUCUUCGUUCAUCGGUAACUUUACUUGGAGCUAUAUUUUUAUUCGCCACAUGAUAUGUGUUUUGCUUCGAGCAUCAUUUUAUUUUAUUUAGUUUUGCUUGUUGUUUGAAUAAAAUACCAAGAUCUGAAAUUCUUAAAUUGUUAGAGAGUCUUCACAUAGUUGCAUAAUCAUUCAACUACUCAUUGAGCUUCACUUAUAUCUUUCGGAGUAGUUUGUUGUUGCUCUAGUGAUUCACUUAUAUCUUUUUAGAGCACGGUGGUGGUUUUAUUUUAUAGAAAUAGAUGAACUCUCAUGCUUCACUUAUAUUAUUUUGAGAGUCCUAAACAGCAUGGUAAUUUGCUUUGGUUAUGAAUUUAGUCCUAAUAUGAUGGGCAUCCAAGAGGGAUAUAAUAAAAACUUUCAUAUAAAGUGCAUUAUAUACUAUGAGAAGUUUGAUACUUGAUGAUUGUUUUGAGAUAUGAGGAUGGUAAUAUUAGAGUCGUGCUAGUUGAGUAGUUGUGAAUUUGAGAAAUGCUUGUGUUGAAGUUUGUGAUUCCCGUAGCAUGCACGUAUGGUGAACAGUUAUGUGAUGAAGUCGGAGCAUGAUUUAUUUAUUGAUUGUCUUCCUUAUGAGUGGUGGUCGGGGACGUGCGAUGGUCUUUUCCUACCAAUCUAUCCCCCUAGGAGCAUGCGCUAGUACUUUGUUUCGAUAACUAAUAGAAUUUUGCAAUAAGUAUGUGAGUUCUUUAUGACUAAUGUUGAGUCCAUGGAUUAUACGCACUCUCACACUUCCACCAUUGCUAGCCUCUCUAGUACCGCGCAACUUUCGCCGGUACCAUAAACCCACAAUUUACCUUCCUCAAAACAGCCACCAUACCUACCUAUUACGGCAUUUCCAUAGCCAUUCCGAGAUAUAUUGCCAUGCAACUUUCCACUGUUCCAUUUAUUAUGACAUGCUUCAUCAUUGUCAUAUUGCUUUGCAUUAUCAUGUAGUUGACAUCGUAUUUGUGGCAAAGCCACCGUUCAUAAUUCUUUCAUACAUGUCACUCAUGAGUCAUUGCACAUCCCGGUACACCGCCGGAGGCAUUCAUAUAGAGUCAUAUUUUGUUCUAAGUAUCGAGUUGUAAUUCUUGAGUUGUAAGUAAAUAAAAGUGUGAUGAUCAUCAUUAUUAGAGCAUUGUCCCAAUGAGGAAAGGAUGAUGGAGACUAUGAUUCCCCCACAAGUCGGGAUGAGACUCCGGACAAAAUAAAAAUAAAAAAAGGCCAAAGAAGCCCAAAUAAAAAAAGAGAAAAAAAGAGGCCAUAAAAAAAGAGAGAAAGGCCCAAAUAAAAAAUAAAAUAAAAUAAAAAAUGAGAGAAAAAGAGAGAAGGGGCAAUGCUACUAUCCUUUUACCACACUUGUGCUUCAAAGUAGCACCAUGAUCUUUAUGAUAGAGAGUCUCCUAUGUUGUCACUUUCAUAUACUAGUGAGAAUCUUUCAUUAUAGAACUUGGCUUGUAUAUUCCAAUGAUGGGCUUCCUCAAAAUGCCCUAGGUCUUCGUUAGCAAGCGAGUUGGAUGCAUACCCACUAGUUUCUUUUGUUGAGCUUUCAUACAUUUAUAGCUCUAGUGCAUCCGUUGCAUGGCAAUCCCUACUCACUCACAUUGAUAUCUAUUAAUGGGCAUCUCCAUAGCCCAUUGAUACGCCUAGUUGAUGUGAGACUAUCUUCUCCUUUUUGUCUUCUCCACAACCACCAUUCCAUUCCACCUAUAGUGCUAUGUCCAUGGCUCACGCUCAUGUAUUGCAUGAAGAUUGAAAAAGUUUGAGAACAUCAAAAGUAUGAAACAAUUGCUUGGAGUACUUGGAGGACGACUCUACUACUUUACAAAAAAAAACCUCGGGGGCUCCCACGACCGCCAAGGCGAUCUGGCGGCGAUGACAGGUGAGACGACGGCCUCGACACCGGCAAAUCCGUUGGUGCAGAGGCGAUUGAUUCCUGGAGGGGGGCACGAGCUGGUUCUCUUCAGCGGGAGGGAGUGAGAGCAAAUCAAGGAAAGAUCGAGGCGGAUCUUUCGGGGAGCGACAGAUCGGGACCAAGUCUUGAUCCGGUCGAGAAAAAGAGCGAAGGAGAUAGCUGAUUUGUUGGCAGGUGAGAUUUCGUCGAGAUCAGGGGAGGUGAUUAGGAGAGGAGCGACCGCGCCCCUCGCGGGAUCGGAAGAGUGUAUCUCGCAGGGGGUGGGCGUGGUUUCCCCCGGUUCUUUAGAGAUAGUUUCAGUAGAUAAGGCUAGUUAUUUAUUCCUUCAGGAUUGUAGAAUUAGAUUGCAGCCGGGAUUGAAGGUUGUUUCAAUUUUGUUUCCUGCCUUUGGGGAUUCAUUUGAGGGAAAGGGAGGAAUUCUUGGAGCAGUUAUUAGGAAACUGCUCAUUCAUGGUUGUUUAUUCACUUUUAAUUACAUCAAUUUCGUUCCUGAGAUUGUUUGGGAAGGAUUUGUUGCUUGCUAUAUCUGGGGACUCGGGAGCGGCUGUCAUCCAUCUUCUCUUGAUCCCAAGCACACCCAUCUUCUCUCUGCACAGUCCACCUCUUGCCGUGAACUAGCCUAUACUAUGGCGGGACAGGGAGAGCUUGUGAGCAGUGAGGUGGGGAAGAAACCUGUGACUGUGGUGGGUUCCGGGGGGACGACGGCUGCAUCGACGGGUACUUGCUCCCAGCCGGCGCUCGACCAUGUUGGCUCCUCCUCCCACCUAGUGCCGCAUGUCCAGCCGAGUUCGAUGAUCCUGGGGCGUGGCCAGGGAGAGGGUCGUCCUCUCGUCAUUGACUUGGAGGCUG
RNAcentral lists this long non-coding RNA (54804 nucleotides) under Triticum aestivum (bread wheat). RNAcentral describes it as "long non-coding RNA (TAES_LNC014850)". The record is from RNAcentral. Lineage: Eukaryota; Viridiplantae; Streptophyta; Magnoliopsida; Poales; Poaceae.